AUUGUUGGAUGUAACCCGCCUAAUUUAUUCAAUGUGAUAUAUAAAAAUACAGUCAAUCUAUUCUAGUCGAUAUAUAAAAAUACGGUAGAUUUAACGGUUAUGAUGUAUCUAAACACAUCCUUAAUAUAUGGAUGUAAUUUAACAUUUUUACAUUAAAUUAUAUAUAAACAUAUGACAUACAAGAAUUUUAAUUUAACCAUAAUUUAAUUUUCUGUGAUAGCUCUAUUUUCAAUAAUAAAAAAAUUAGACUCAAAACGUCUCGCUCUUUUACAUAUUGCGAACGAGGAUAAACCACAAGCAAGAAUUACCGUCUAUAAUUCGGGUACAAAAAUCGAAAUCACAGCAGAAGAUACGAUUUUAGUUUUUAAUAAAGUUUUAACAUUUGAUAUCAAAGCCAUAUCUUUCGCCAAAUUUUCAUUUUUAUAUAUUCCUUUUGAUUUUUUUUUUAUUAAAAAUAAAUAAAUAAAUAAUUUUGUCGAUUGGUUUGCAUUAAGGGUGCGUUUGGUUCGAGUUAUCCUGGCAGGAUUACAGGCAAUCCUGCCAGGAUAACUAUGUUUGGUUAAUCCGCUAUGUAAUCUAAUCGUUAAUGUAGGAUUACAAAUCGAGCAGGAUUAUAUCGAAAAUAUUAACGGGAGGGGAGUCGUGUAUCUUGCAUUACUGAAAUCCGUUAAUACUACAUAUUAUGUAAAAUAAUAAUUUUACCCUCAAACAACCCCAAAUCUAAUUAACGGCAUUAUUUUCAUCUCUCUCUCGCCUUCCCCCCGGCCCUCUCUCUCGCACGCCGCUUUCUCUCGCUCUCUCUCUCUCGACGUCUCUCUCUCUCUCUCGCACGAACACCUAUCAUCUUCUAUUGCGUCGUCCUCCAAAGUAAUCAUCACGAUCUCCUUCCAUCCGUUCGUCAUUUUCACAAAAAAUAAUAUUCAAAUGACCGCAACAAGGGUAAUUUUGAAAAAAAACUAUACUUUUAUGUCAGGAUUACUAAAUUUUAUAAACUGAACCAAACAUAUUAAUGCUAUAAAUACUGUAAUCUAGUAUUACAUUACUGUAUUAAACCAAACGUUUUAAUGCAGCAUUAGUAGUAAUCUCACGCCGAAAUCUAAAAUACCUGGAUAUGUCGAGAUAUUUUGUAAUAUUAUAUAACUCGAACCAAACGGGCCCUAAUAGUGAUAUUGACUAGACUCGAUCAAGACCGGCGUCCGGAGGAACGACGUCAUUAGCCUAGCCGCAUUAAGUCGAUUCAAGAAGUUAAAAAAAAAAAAAAAAAGGAAAAAAAAAAAAAAACAAGAAGAGAGGUAGGGAGUGUCAACCGGUUUCUACCAGAGCCGCGCGGAGGCAUCACACAUCCUUCGGCCGCCCUUGGCGGGGCCCACGUGUACGGCCCGAUUAACCCCAUGGGCGGCCAGGAGCACCCACUUGGAUGCGGUCAACAAAAAAACAAAAAAAAAAAGAAGCUGCCGGGACCCUGGAGCAUCCAAGUGGAUGCUCCCCAACUUGGAUGCUCCCCAACCAAAAAAAAAAAAAAAAAAAAAAUAUAUUUUUUUUACUGAAAAGUGAAUAUGUAUAGUUUUAGUCUAUAAUUAUUUUUUAUUAUGUGAUUCGGUCUUAAAAAAAAUUAUAUAUAAAAUCAUGUAUAACGUUUCGUAUUUAUUAUAUAUAAUUUUUAUACUACUCAUUAAUUUAUUUAUUCAUGACUACUAUAUAAUAGUAUACUUAGUUUAAUUUGUAUGGUAUAUUUUUAUUAUUAUUCUAAACACACAAAGGUGCUCAUAAAAAUAGAACAAAGUAAAUAGACUUUAUAUAGUUUAUAACUCUUGAGUCAUAUAAGAUUGUUAAAAAAAUUAUUUUAGACUUUAAUUCUUUUCCGCUACAUUUUGAAAUAAUAUAAAAUUUCGGUUAUUUAAUAUUAUAUAUAGAUUUGUGAGAUCAAUUAUGUGUAAGAGUAGCCAUAGCAUCAUAAUCAUGAUAUGUGACCACAUACUGUAUUUUUAUAAGAUAAUAUUGAAUUAAAGUUAACCCGAAAAUUCGUACGGAUUUCUAGUUUAAUUUUAAUAGCCAUUUCAAGUUAUUUGUAUUUUUCAUUAUACUUAGAAAUAGCCACAGUAUCCUAUAGAUUAUAAAGAAUACAUAAAAAUUUAUUGACAUUGAGUCAAAAUUUGACCAUUUAUUGCAAUCAAAUAAGUAGUAAUUUUUGAAUUUUGACUGGAAUAAGAUAAUAGAUUGAAUUUUUAGAUAGCGAUUUUCUCUUAUACCUACAGAUACAGAAAUCUCGUUAUUUAGAAAUUAGCUUUCCGCUAGUCUUGUUAUUAAAAUAGAUAAAUUAUAUGUGUGUAGUGCCUUUUUCCACAGGAAAAUAAAAUUUAUCUAAUAUAAAAAUUAUUAUCUUAUAAUAGGCGAUAAAAGUUAUAUAUUUUUUUUGUUCUUACAUAUUCCUUCUCUACUGCAUUUCUUAAUGAUGUUUCUCGUAUUCCUAUACUUAUUGAGGACAACUAUUCUGAUUGGAAAGUAAUUAUUUCUUUAUUUUGGGCUAUAUGGAUUUAAAUUUGGUUCUGCGCGUUGAGCAACCGUCUAAAGUCGUUGGGCUAAUGACCUCACAGAAGAAAUUCGCGCAGAAAAAGUGGGAGCAAUCCAACUGCUUAAGCUUGAUACUCAUAAAGUUUAGAGUAUCAAAAAAUAUAAGGAGAUCAAUUUCAGAAUGUGAUAAAGCCAAUGAUUACUUAAAAGCCAUUGAGAAGCAGUUUGUCUCCUCCGAUAAAGUUUUGGUGAGUGCGCUAAUGAAGCAACUUUCGGGCAUCAAGUACAAUCGAGUUAAGGGUGUGCGCGAGUAUAUCAUAAAAAUGCGGAACAUAGCAGCUUAGCUAAAGGUUUUAAAAGUUGAGAUUUCUAACAUUUUCUUAGUCUAUAUAAUUCUAAAUUAUUACCGUCUGAGUUUGCCCCUUUUAAGAUCUCCUAUAACACACAUAAGAAUAAAUGGUCAAUAAAUAAAUUAUUGAACAUGUCUGUUCAAAAAGAUGAGAGACUUAAACAGAAGAAGUUGGAAAAAUUAUAAUAGAAUCUGUUAAUCUGGUGACUCGAUGCAAAAGAAAAAAGUGAAAAUGUGCCUUUAAUUAUAAGAAGUCAGCGCAGUUGCCAAUAAAGAAUUCUGGUAAAAAAAAUUAAUGUUAUUUCUGUAAAAAAAAAUGGCACAUAAAAAAGGAUUGCUUGAAGUAUAGAGCUUAACUCGAGAAGAAUGGUAUUAAAACUAUCUAUAUCUAUUAUGAAUCUCAUUUAAUUAAUGUUCUUAAAAAUAUAUGGUGGAUUGACUCUGACACUACUAUAUAUAUCUCAAAUACCAUGCAUGAUUUUUACAACUAAAAAAUGUUGAAGCAAUCGUAGGAAACUUUAUUUUAGAACUUACUACUGGUUUUGUACUUGAAUCUGAGGAUAUUUUUUAUAUCUCCAAAUUUUUUAGAAAUUUAGGUUUCUAAAUUAAGAAAUAAAGGUUUCAAGUUUUUCUUUUGGAAAGAAUCUUUUACUAUCUUCUCCGAUAAUGUUAUUAUUGGUAAUGGUUGUUUGGUGCCUAAUCAAAUUUGUGUCGUCUAUACGGUAUAAAUAUAUCACUAGAUCAAGUAGGAGAAUGUUGGAUGUGACCCACAUAAUUUAUUUAAGGCGAUCUAUAAAGAUAGAGUAGGUCUAUUCAAGUCGAUGUAUAAAGAUAUGGUAGAUCUAACGGUUAGAAUGUAUCUGGACACAUUCUUGAUAGACAAACAUGAUUUAACAUAUUUACAUCAAAUUACAUAUAAAUAUGUAACAUACUGAAGUCCUAAUCUAACACUAAUUUAAUUUUCUGUGACGAUUCCAUAUCCAGAAAUAAGAGAAUUAGACUCGAAACGUUCCGCUCUCUUGCAGAUCGCGAACAAGAACGAACCACGAGCAAAAAUCAUCGUUUACAAAUCGGAUACGGAAAUCAAAAUCGUGACAAAAAGUACGAUCUUAGUAUUUAAUAAAGUUUUAACAAAAUUUCUCAUCAACUGUAUUUAUAUCAAAUAUAUAAUAUGUGUUACAGCUUGAGUUUCACACCUUUUUUUUUUGUAAAAUAAAUAAAAGAAAAAACUAUAUCUCAAACACCAACCAUAAAAUCUUUAGCCAAGAAGUUUCCUAGAUGCGGAUACAAAUCUUUGAAUUUUAUUAUAAUAUUUCUUAGCUUUUGAGCUAAAUCCCUCCAUCAAAUUGAAUACAAAUAACAGUAUAAACAUCUCCUAACUAUUGCGUGAGAAACUUUUAGUAGUCUUAUAUGGUGAUUACAUAGGAAUUUCAAUCAAAUUUAACCAGGAAUUUGGCAAAAAGAAUAAAAAUUGCAAAAAAGAAAAAUGCAACUAAUUGUAAUAAUUGAAAGAGUAUUGGAGACCAAAUUAACUUCUAUUUUGGAGUAGAUAAAUGGGACUUGAGCCCAAAUUUUUGGAGGUAUGAGUCAUAUAUGGGCCAAAUAAUUAAUAGGCCCGGAUAUUUUUCAAGCUCUUCUUCUAGGGUUUUGAAACAUGGACAAACAAUAGACAAUGUUAGGUUGUUUUCAUACAAACAUUAGAUGCAUAUAACACCCUACUAGUUUCACAUUUAAUGGAAAGAAAAAAUUAUGCAUGAAUAUAUAAAAAAUUAGGGCUCUAAUAAUAAUAAUAAUUAAGAUUAAUUAUGUUGGACAAGGGCUAUGUCAUUACAUGAUUAGUAAUAAUUCCUAGCUUGUUAUUUUCAUUGUGCACGCGUCGCUACCUAAGUAUCUUUAUAAAUAUUUUAUUCGCUUUACCUUUUGAUUUACUAAAAGAAGAUAGAGUUCUAGUUUUUUUUUGAAAUAAAAUAAAUUAUUUUGUAAUAUAAAUAUAAAAAAAACUUCUACCUACACAAUUUUAUUCUGAUAUUCAAACAGGAAUUUAACCUUUGUCAUUGAUUUUAAGUUAUAAACUGGCAAAUGAGAGGUGAGAUUUCACAUGCAAUCUUAGUAGAGUGCUCGGCAUCGAUGCCUCGUUAAGGAGCUCCCGAUCCGCUGCUAUUUGUUAGUUUUAUUUCAUCCAAUAAUUUGUUGGAUAUUAUUUGGGCUAAAUUAUAAAAAAAAUUAUGUAAAUAUCUACUUUUUUUUUUUCCCUCUCUGAAUUUCAAAAACUUAUAUUUACUCCAUUAAAAUUUUCAGAAAUACUUUAAGGGAGGGUACGUAUUUAUGGAGAUGACAAAAUAACCAAGUUAUCCUUACUUCUUCUAUAAAAAAAAAAAGAAAAAAAAAAUUUUAAUAUAUUUCUAUCAUUUUGAAGAGUAUUUUUUUGUAUAAAUUAUAAGAAAUUGACAGAACAGUAAUAGAACGCUGACCGGUAGGGAGGGGGAGGGUUAAAUGCAAUAAAUGUGGAGGGGGUAAAAUACAUAUUUUUAAAAAAUUGAAAAAAAUUUAAAAAAAAUAUUUAUAAAGAGAUUUUUGUGAUUUAGCUUUUUUUUAAUACUAAAAUAAAAAUAAAUCCUAGAAAGAAGCAUUAUAUAUCUUAGAUAUAAAUAAAAAUGACACAUAACUGGAGAAUUCACAGCAGUUUUUUUUUUAAAAAAAAAAAAUUUGGUAUUGCCUCAUCAUCUCAUGCACCCAAGAUUCUAUGCAUGUACAACUUGUAAGAGGAUCACUAAUAAAGUGCCCUACUAUUUACUACUACUAGACCUGCUUACUCAGAAUCAGUACACACCUGCAAUCCUAUAUUAUGUCCAAAAAGAGAAUCAUCAUAGCUUUAUCUGCUACAAACGUUCUACUAUUACUACAUGGAGGGGGUAUCGAGGUGCCAUCACAUAUUCACAUCCUUAUUAUUAGUUUAUUGUAGAGUCCUCGAUCCCAUACUUAACUCUUGCUUCUGAUUUUUUAUUCCUUUUUUUUUCUGUAAAUGAAGGUAAAAGUUGGCCAAGUUUUAUUUAUUUAUUUAUUUAUUUAUUUUCUUUCGAAAAUACAAAUCACCCUUUGAUUUAUUUCUGAGCGUACAGCAUGACUCUCUCUCUCUCUCUCUCUCUCUCUCUCUCUCUCUAUAUAUAUAUAUAUAUAGAGUUGGACUGCGCUACUAUUAGUAGCAAAAUUCUAUUGUUGCUACCAGUUUUUUAGCCUUUGGAUCAACUCUUUUCAUUAUUUCUAACCAUUGGAUUAAAUGCUAGCUGUGGCAACUUGUACUAGAUCUGGUAAAUUUAAUAGAUCUUUAGUUUAAAGUACUAAAAAACCGUAGUGAUUGACUUGCUAGUUUCCCGGUGUUUUAAAUAUUAAAAUUUCCAGCUAUACCACGCAAACGAGCAAAUUGCCAUAUCUUCUCAAGUUUAGUUGAUUUAAAAAUAUUUUUUUAAGAAAUUUAAUAAAUUUUAUUCUAGAUAUGAGAUCUAGAGUUUAUAUUUUUAACAUAGCAGUGAAAAACUUUCUAUAAGUGAAGGUCAGUAAAUAAAAAGACAAGUGAAUUACCUGUUCUCUUGUUAUAGCUUUUACACACUUUAAACUAAAGGUCUAUCAAAUUUAUCAAAUCUAGUAUAAAUUGCCACAGCUAGUAGUUAAACCUUCGAGAUAGUAGCUUUUGUUUAGCCAUCAUUUGGCUCGGCAAAUGAUGGCUAUCAUAAGAUCGUUUUGAGAUAUAUAUAUAUAUAUCUUAAUCCGACCUUAUGAUAAUUAUCAUUUUACGAGAAAAACGAUAGUUCAAAAAUUGGGAACCUACUUUUUAACAUCCCAGUCCUACUAUAAUCAGCCAAUCUUAACUCACCAGGCGGAUCCCAACUCACCAGGGGUGACCCAAUAUUAUNCUUGAACCGAACUUGAACCAAUAUUUCUUAUAGUUUCGGAACCGAACCGAACAGAACCGAACCCUUUUUAUAAUUGAACCGAUUAUCUAUAUAAAUUGUAAUCUGAACCGAACCAUAGAACUCCAUCUCUCUGAACCUCUGAACCGAACCGAACCGAACCAAACCGAACCCUAUCUAAACCUGUAAAUAAAACCAAACCAAAACUCUCUGUAUGCAAAGCGUUUACUCUCCUCUCCCCCUCCGCCGCCCUUGCUGAAACGCUCCCCUUCUGAGCGUUCUUGCUUGAGCGUUCUUGCUUCUUCGCUCUCCCUCUUGAUUUCGUGUGGUAAGCCGUUUCCUCUCCUCCGCCGCAGCAUCCGUAUCUAUUUCCGUUUCAGAGAAGAUCGUGUCUCAUCAUUCAUCAUUCAUCAAACUACCACCGUUUCAAAUGAGAUCGUGUAUCAUUAUUUCUUUAAUCAAAUGUACUGGCUGCCGCUUCCUCUACCCUCAUUGCUGCUACAUUCUUGCCUAUAUAUUUCAUCCAUCCCUCAGAUCAAAACCAUCAUGUGAUAGGUAAGAAAAUUAGGUUUUCUUUUAUAAUUUCAUCAUAAAUUAAAUAUAAGAAAUUUAUGUUUUUUUUUUUCUUAUAUAAGAAUGUUAUUGUCUAAUUCUCAGGAAUCGACGCUCACAUUCCCACGAUCUGGACGUUUUCUUCUUCCUAGGGGUUUCAGGUUAGUAGUUCUUUUUUCUUUCAUGAAUUAUUCCUAUUUCAUGAAUUUUCAGGUUAAAUAUUUAAUAUUUAUAUAUAUGCGAGUAUUGAUUUUCUUUUUUAAUCAGUGGAAAAAUGUGAAAAAGUUAACAAAUUAUUCAAUAAUUAUAGGCGAAUAAUCGAUGAGUUCUUAAAUUAUUUCAUUGAUAUGUAGUUUUCCACUCAGCAUUCACAUGACAAAUAAUUAGUGGAAUGAUAGGGCCGGUGAAAAUUCAUGAAUGUAGAUUUAUAUUAAUCAGCUUCAAAUUCUUACCUCAAUUCUUAGAAUUUUCUUUCACUCCUCUUUUUUCGGAGUGAUGAACUAUACUUCCCUUUAUCUUUCAUUUGACUGCAGCAAUGGCCGCACCUGUUAGCAUUGAUAUUAAUUUUCGCCGUCUACUCCGCAAGAUCUGCGCUAAAUUUUCGCUUAAUCCUCCAAGUUAUGGAAUGACAUUAGAUGCGGACUUGCGAUUUUGUUCUUACGUCGAUGUGGAAAUUCCAAGAAAUAGCCGAAUCAUAGAAGUCAUUACAAGUUGGGGUGCACCGUCUUCGAAUGCUAAUCGUACCAAAGAGGAUGCUGCAAGGAUUGCUAUUGGGAGGCUUCGCAACGAGUUACGCUUUGAAGUUAAGGACACAAAUUACGAGGAAAGAAAAUCUUUAAGAGGUUUAUACGAUCAGCUUUGUCACGAUCAUGAAGAGCUUCGCGACGAAUAUGAAAUGCUUAAGUUAGACUACGACCUUCUCAGAAGGUUCUAUAAUUCUUUGGUCGUAGAAAGGGAUCGAAUUGUUGCCGACUUGGAAGAAUUGAAGGAAAACAUUGAUAAAUGUUUUGAAAUAAUUCACGAGCCCAACGUUGUUCCAAUGGAUGGUGAGUCGGCGGCAAACCCUGAUGAACAUGUGAUGCCGCCUUCUCCAGAUCAUUCGCCUACCGUAUGUGGUCCGGAGCAUACUAUGAUAACCGAUGAGGACCCGGAUGAGGACCCGGAUGAGGACCCGAAGACACCUUUUGACUGCAAAACCUAAACUUAUUCUGUCAUCUUUUUUCUCUUUCAAAUGGUGUCGUCCUUCCUUAUUCUGUCAUCUUUUUUCUCCUUUUCAAAUGGUGUCGUCCUUCCUUAUUCUGUCAUCUUUUUUCUCCUUUUCAAAUGGUGUCGUCCUUCCUUAUUCUGUCAUCUUUUUUCUCUUUUUUUUAGGAUUUUCCUUCUGUUUGCGUUGUAAGUAGCUAAGUUUUAUGUUUUUUGUGUUUUCAUCUUUUUCUUUCAUAAUAGGAGUUGAUUGCUGUUUGCGUCCUUUUAAUACAGUGUCCUCUUUGUUUUAUUAUGGUGUUCAGUGUAGUGAAUAUAUAUUAAAAUAUCAUCGAGAUUCCACCAAAAACUAAAAUAUUGUGAGAACUAACAGGUGGAAGACAUGUCAAAAAUAAUAAGAUGGUUGUAUUACAAAUCUACAAAAUAUAUAAGCAUGUAGUAUGAGCUAAAACAAGACCUCAGAUAAUGAAGGUUACUGCGAGAGUAAUAACUUAUUAUAUUUAAGUGCUAGAUACCAUUUUACUAAAUGCUAUUAUGCUCCACAAGGAAAUCCAAAGCAGGAUAAAGCUAGGGGGCAAUCCACAAUUGAUCUUUGACUUCUAUACUACAAGAAAAUUUUAUAAUUCACCAUAAAAUCUAUUGCAAAUAAGAAAUAGAGGUUAACAAUUCAGCUUCAACAUAAAAACUGUUUUUCGAUUUUCUACCUCAAAGAAAACUAAAUUUCUUGCUCAUAUUCCCUCCAAAUUGGUCCAAGCAAAAUUCUACUCAAAAGAGGAUGAAGUCAAGACCACUAUCGAUCGUUCCAAAGUUCAUCUUCUACAAGAAAUUCAAAUGUAUUUUAUCAAAGCCCAAAAUUGGUCCAUUUCAGUCCAGUAAAUCAGAAUUUCAACUUCCCCCUACACAACUACAUAUAUUCAAUUUCGAAUUUGGAGCUUCACAACUCCUCUAAUUAAGCACCCUUCUCCCAAAUACUCUGCUGCCAGCCAGCAGAGAAAUGAGGGUAAUUGGAGAAAUUAGACGAAAUUUGUUGCGAGGAUGGAGUUCCCAGGUGGAGAGAAGUUAGAGUUCCACCAACACUCCAACUCAACAAAGUGGAUACAAAGUAAUCCACAAUUUCAUCAAUUAUCAAAAUACUCUCAACAUACUGAAAUUUCAGCAUAGAUAUCAAAUGUGCACAAAUUACCUCAUACCUAAAAUGAGUCUUACCUAAAUAUAAGAGUCCAGUAGCUAUCAUUCUUCACGAAUCCUCAUCUUAAAUCCAAUUUAGCCUCCUCAACUCCCAACUUGAAUGCUGCAGCAUAUAAAAGGUGAUUGAAAAGAAGCAAAAGGAUCAGUUUGAUGUAAAUAUAUUCAAUGACACCAAAUAGAAUGCUGUCAUAGAUUUUUACAGUCCAAUUUAGCCUCCUCAACUCCCAACUUGAAUGCUGCAGCAUGUAAAAGAUGAUUGAAAAGAAGCAAAAGGAUCAGUUUGAUGUAAAUAUAUUCAAUGACACCAAAUAGAAUGCUGUCAUAGAUUUUUACAGAAACUGAUGUAUUAAGUGGGACUAUUUUAUUCCCUACCCUAUCAACAUGAAAACAAAGUAUUAAGGCGACACUCAUAGUAACAUAGAACAGUUUGUUGUUUGCAUGAUAGACUAAGUCAUCCAAUGCACAAAAAUUGAUAGAUCAAACAAAUCAAGUUUCCUACAAAAUCUGGCAGAAGGAAACUAUUUAGAAGUCUAUAGUAUCUCAAACUCUAGCAUUUUAUUUGCUGUCAGGACAUUAGGGAUUCCAUUUUGUUAAUGAAAAAUAGAACAUGUUACUGUUGUAACCAAAACUCGAGGCUAGGAAAAUCCAUAUCUGCUGCCAAACAUAGUUUUGGACAGUUGAAAAUAUUACCAAUCAGUUUCUCCAUAGGAUAUAGAAAUUCACGUUCAACAAAAGAAUAUAGAUCAUGUAAUUCCCAACUUCAAUAGUGGGGGAAACAUAUAUAUAUAUAUAUUAAACAUAUAAAUUGACCUCCUCUUCUAUGAAUGGAUUAACUGGUACAACUAAACCACUUAAGAUUAUAAUAGAGGGAUCAACAACAAGUGGUUUUGAUAUGAAACAUGCCAUAAAAGAUGAUGAUUGUGAUAUGAAAGAGUUUCUAUUUUCUAUGCUCGGAGAGGGGUUUAAACUCAGCAUAGAUGAGAUUUGAGAAGUUAUUGGUAACAAUCAUUUUAUUUCACAUCUGUUGUUCAACUAUAUCAUUUUUAAACAAAUUGAAUAUGUAGAGUUUUUUGUUGGUGGCAACAAAGUCUUAUUGCUUUAGAAGUUCUUCUCCACUUGGACUGAUUCUUUAUGUAAUUUUGUUAUUCUUUCAUGCUGCCAAGUUGCAUUUUCAUUCAUUAGCCUGAAAUGCUGAUAACCCCCUGGUUGUAACUCACGAAAUAUAUUUAGUUGUUCCUGGUUCUUCUUUGUAAUAGCAGCAAAUUACUAUGUUCUACCUUUGUUCUGUGCUAUUGUACCUCCAAAAGCAACUCUAUGAUCCUAUAAACUUUUUAAGUUGUUCUUUACUUAAAUGAAAAUAUUGACUUAUUGCUUUUUUUCUACACAACUUUCCACUUUGGAAUUUUUAUGUUUAUCUUAUUUUUUUCCUUUUUAAUUAACUUUUUUUAUAUUUCUCUCCAGAAACUGACGACAAUUUGGAACGGUUGUUGUGCAUCUAUUUUCUGUUGCCUCACUUCCGUACUAUUGUAAGUCCUAAUUGAACUCUAUGUAAUUGAAAAGAUGCUUCAUUGUUGUUUACUUUGUUUGCUCUCCUCAAAUUCUACUCCAUAUUCUAUUCAUCUUUCUAUUGGUUGUUAACAAUCUAUUAUACUUCUACUUUUUCUUCUUAUGUAUUCAAUUUUUCCACUCGAUUAAAAAGGUGACAAAAAAAAUAAAGGCACAAAUUUAUUGUUUUUAAAGAAAAUCCUUUGUAGAAUUAGCAGAUUGCAUAUUUCCAUUUGGAAGGCAUUACAAAACUUAAAUUUAGGCUUCCCUUUGAUUUGGCCUCAUUAUUGUUGUCACUUUUCAUCAUCAUCAUUAUUCUCAUUCCAUACUUCUCCAUCAGUAUUUGAUUUUGACAUUAAUGCAGCAUUUAAGAUAAGCUAGAAUCUCUCUUGAUUUCACAUGUCUGCUGCAACCUGCUGCUGCCGUCUUUCGCAAUUGAAGCAUCAAUUUCAUUGCUGGAGGCUCCAAUUAUGUUGGAUCAAGCUCCCCCGCUACUGCUGCAAUUUUGCUGCUGCAGAUUGCAACUGCAGGCUAUUGCUGCUGCUACCUGUAGCAAAGUUUCAAUUUGGUCCUUGAGCUAUCAAUUUUGGUGUUUAAAUUUUUGAACUUUAAAAUAGUUGCACUUUAAUCCUCAAAUUCUUUAGUUUUUCCAUACAAAUCUUUAAACUUUUAAAAUAGCUUCAAUUUAAACAUCUUCUGCCUUUUUAUAUAGUUUUAUAAUAAAUUUUUUUACCAAUAUUCUGAAAAUUCUAAAUCAAGAGGAGUUAUAAACUCUUAAAAGGUAAUUAACCAAAAUUAUUUAAAUAUUAAAUAUGACAACCAUAGGCAAACAAAAGAGUGCAAGUUUUCUUUAAAGAAAAUUUAUGUAUAAUACUUGAACAAUUAAAAAUAGCUAAAUAUGCAGCUAAAGAAGCGGCAGCAACAGUUUGGUAGCAAAUGAAAAAAAACCCAUUAAAUAAAAUUCUAAUCUUUUUUUUUUUUUUAAGGUUUUUACUUAAAAUUGAAUAUACUAGAAGAAGAAGCAGCAUCAUAAUAUACUUCUUCUUCUUUUUUUUUUUUUCUUAGGAUAGUUUGCGAUUAAAAUUUUAAUGCAUACAUAAAGAACGAAUAACAAAUUUAUUAUCAAAGGAAUAAUAAACAAAAAUUAAAGAAGUAGAUGGGAAUAAGAGCCUUUCUUUCAAAUUAUUAUCAAUUGUAGGACAUAUGAACAGCAAAUGCAUGGCACUAAAAAUAAUUUAGACCACUUCCUAUAGUGUUCGAAACUUGAAGCCAUAAACCUUAAAAUAAUAGCUAAAUUAAUUAAGCCCUCAUGGUUUACAUAUUCUGUAGAAACAUGAUAUAAGAUUUCUACUUAUUUUCAAAUUUUUGCCAAAUUUUUGUGGUCGCCAUUUUCUACUUAUUCUCACUAUUGUCUUUCUUCUAUGCUAACUUAAAUGAAAAGAUUGACUUUACUGCUUAUUUUCUUGCAUUGCUUUCAAUUUGGAUAUCCGAAUUGCUUAUUCUGUUUUUUCCUUUUUAAUUAGUUCUAUUAUAUUUCUCUCAGGACAUUAACGACACUUCGGACGGUUGUUCUGUGUCUCUUUGCUGUUGCUUUGCUUCCCGUGCUCCUGUAAGUCCUAAUUCAAUCCCGUGCUUUUAAAACAAUUUAAUGUAUUGACUAUUAGAUAUUUAGUUUUUAUUUAUUUAUUUAUUUUUGCCUACAAUGAGUUCUGUAAACUUGUUCAUAGUAAUUUUUUUGCAUUUAAUCUUACAUUGUCUGUGUCUUGCCAAUUUAUACCAGUAAAAUAAUUUAAGUGUAAAAAGUGCAAUGUGUAUGUAAGGUACCGGACUUAUAAAAUUAUAAAGUUACGGUGUCCAUUUGGUUUGAAAGCUAUUUGAAUGAUUCCGGUGAGGUUGCGGUAGAAUGUAAUAUACCGGAUUUUAAAUAUAAAAAUAAAAAUAAAUAAAAAUAGUGUGAGAUACUAUUUUUAUUGGAUUUAGAAGAGUAAAACAUAAGUCAGAAGUGACUUGUGCUGAAAUCGGAAUGAAAACAGAAGAUCUAGAAUUUUCUGUUGGAAACGGGACAGAUAAAUAGGCAGAAAAUGCACAGUCUCAGAAAAUUAUGAAAAUUGGAGGAUAAGCCAGAAAUAUUUUUAUGAGGCUAGAUUUAAGGUUUCUGAGAGUACGAUUGUGACCCAACCCGAGAAUUUGAUACGGUUUGGGAUCUUGGUUGCUCCUGGUUGGAGUGUGUGCGAAUUCCCAAGUGAGAAUUUCGCCCCAGUUGUGAUUGGGUCUACGCUUGCGAGCGAGAGGCGCUACGCAUAUGUUGAGAUGGGUUUAGGCUGUAGGCCUACGUAGUAUUGGUGGCCUUUGGCUCACCUGUGAAAAACCGAGGAAAGUGAUUUGGCGAGUAGCCUUAUUGGGGAGUUUGACUUGAGUUCACGAACGAUGUGCUCGUGUGAGUCGUUGCGAAAGUGGUAUGAUGUUGACCGUGGCAUAUGGUAUUAGGUAAUGAGGUGCUCUUGGCGAGGCCUUGAGCUAAUGGCCAGCCACGUAGAAGUGGAAUUGGGAUGCGCCGAGGUGGGCCAUCUCACGUCAAAGUUAAGGGCUAGUGCAGAAUUAAAGCACUUAUGAUGAAGCGGUGCACCGGUGAUAUUGCUUUUAGGCAAUGUCGGUGAUUGAUUUGGAAUGCAUUCCCUGAAGGGGAAGUAAAUGCAAGGAAGAGUUCUUGCUUGUCAAGUGGCAAGUGGUGUUGGAGAGCGUAGAGUCAUCGAGUUUCGACUUGCACUACCACAUAGAGUGACGGAGACCGUAAUUUACUUUGUGAGGUGUGCCUUGCAAAGUUGGAUGCAUUUGGUAUCAUGAGCUCCGUAGUAGUCCUUUUGGAUAGUUCCGAUGAGUGAAAGGCCACUCCGAAAUGCAAAAGUGCAUUGGAACCCUCGACUAUUUGAUAAGUUGAGUUGGGGUAUGAAUUGGAAUUGAAGUGAGAUAGUUUCGAGGACGAAACUCUUUUUAAGGAGGGGAGGAUGUAAAGUACCGGACUUCUAAAAUUAUAAAGUUACGGUGUCCAUUUGGUUUGAAAGCUAUUUGAAUGAUUCCGGUGAGGUUGCGGUGGAAUGUAAUAUACCGGAUUUUAAAUAUAAAAAUAAAAAUAAAUAAAAAUAGUGUGAGAUACUAUUUUUAUUGGAUUUAGAAGAGUAAAAUAUAAGUCAGAAGUGACUUGUGCUGAAAUCGGAAUGAAAACAGAAGAUCUAGAAUUUUCUGUUGGAAACGGGACAGAUAAAUAGGCAGAAAAUGCACAGUCUCAGAAAAUUAUGAAAAUUGGAGGAUAAGCCAGAAAUAUUUUUAUGAGGCUAGAUUUAAGAUUUCAUAUUUUUCUGACACCCGUAGAGUGAGAAAUAAAAUCCGAAAGCUAUCUGAUAAAGAUUGCAGUUCGGUACAGUUUUCAGUGACCAAACGGGGUCGAAACUGAACCAGUGAUCGUCAGCUUGUUAAGUUAAGUAAAACCGAACAUGACUGUCAAGUUUGAGCUCAAACGGAGAUUCAGGGAGCUCCGGCGAAAGUUAUCAGAUUUUAAGCUGCCUGGAGGUGAAUAGUGUUGGGGUGUAAUUAAAUAGAAGCAUGAUGCUUCUUCUUCCUCCUUCAGCCGUGCACACCCACACACACCUCACGCACACAUGGAGAGAGGAGAGAAACUCUCCUUUCUCUCUCUAGAGAUCUCUCUCAUUUCUCUAUAUCUCUCGCUCAAAUUCGCGGGGUUGGUGGAGAAUAUGCUUGCGAACGCGUUGGAGGCGACGGAUUGAGCUUUCGUGCGCCCGUUGGAGCGGUGUGUUGUCGUCGCGGCGUUCACAUUGAGGUAAGCUUUUAGGAUUUGGCUUAAUCCUUAGCUUUAAGUAUUCUAAUAGCCUCUAAUGAGCUUUGUUAGCAUGUUGAUCCAUUUAAUUUUGGAUUAUUUUGAGGUUAAUUGCAUAUUAGGGCUCCGAAUGGGGUUUUGUAAAAUAUGAGGGUUUGAUCUAAUUUGACCCUUCGUAAACCUAAUUGCUAGGUAACGAAACGCGUUGGCGAAGACGGUUCGGCAAUCCGACGAGCCGUUACAAAGUUAUUAAAGAAAUGGACGUUUAGGCUUCGGGUCCGCCGGGAGGGCCGAGGCGACAUCGUAAAUUCAUGAAAAUGGAUUUGAAGCAUCGUGGCACAUAACCGAAGACCUUUAAUUUUCGGAUCGUGAAUUGGAGGCCGUUCGGGUGGUCGCGUGAGAGAUCGGGCCAAACCGGGUGCCGGGUGCCGCGGGAGGCCGAUUGCAAGUGUCGACAAGCAAUCGGAAUGCGAAAUGAGGUGGGUUGUGCUUACCGAAGCGACUAGGUCGCCCUUUAUGUUUAAGAAACAUACGAAUUCACAUUGAUGCAUAUAGUUGUAUUGGUAGGCUUACAUGAUAAUAUGAAUGCUUGAAACAUAUUAUGUAGUUGAUAUUACCUACCAAUGAGAUGAAAUGUAUAAUGAAUUAAAUGCUAAAAGAAUGCAUGAGAUGCUAAGUAUAGACUACUUUGGAUGAUGAUUAUAUGUAUGUUGACAUAUCAUGUGAUGCUAGUAAUAUAUGUGCAUGAUGACAUGUUGUGAAUUAACAUAUUGUGGAUUAUGUUAAAUAGAAACAUAUACAUGAUGACAUAUAUUGCAUAUGAUAGAAGAAUUAUACAUGUUGCCAUAUUGUGGAACAUAGUGGAUGAAUUAUGCAUGUUGAACUUGGUCGAUUAGAGAAAUUGACAUUGGAAAACAAGAACACAUCGAGUGGCAUUAAUGUAGUGUAUUUGACACUAGAGGUUUGAGAACCUAGGGAUAGGUGAAUCCCUUAGAAAAUGCCUUGUGGAUAAAGAACUUAGUAAACCUAAGUACCCUCACAUGGAGAGGUUGUCGAUGAGUUAUUGAGACAUUGACUCUAGUUGUAGAGCAUCCUCACUUGGAGAGGAUUUGAUUGGGUCGUUGACUCUAGUUGUAGAGCAUCCUCACUUGGAGAGGAUUUGAUUGGGUUGUGGACCCUAGUUGUAGAGUAUCCUCACUUGGAGAGGAUAGAUCUAGCUCACAGUCUGCGUUUGGGAUGGUAUAGCCAUCCAAUCCCCACAUGGAGGGGAUUGUCGUCGAGUACUCCGGAGUGUCGUGCGACUAGGACCACUUGGAGGUCCGGACCACAUGGAGGUCCGCAGACGGUCCCGGGCUUGGGUGCACUUGGAGCUCCCUCCCCACUUUGGGAUUGAAAGGUGAGUUAUUGGCGAACCCUAGGGCUUCGCUACAGAUUGGGUAAAAGAACAGUGAACAAUGCCAUUGAACAUUAUUAUUCGAACAUGGAUCGAAUUUGUUAGCAUGAUAGUAAACCUUUACUAUUUGAUGCAUGGUAUGAGUUUUAGUUGCAUCCCAGUUGAGUGGAUUUAGGGCCGAGGUGCAUGUGAGACAUCCUUCACCUUGAGCCUGGCUUUGUGCGGUAUUCCGCGUAUGAUUGACUCAAGACCGGGUCGAGUGGAUAGCUUAUGAAAGCAGGUUAAACCUUAUGAGCAGAAUUGUAAUUGACAAGAAUCUAAAAUAGAGGAAAACUUAGAAGUCAAUUAGUGGAACUGUGAAUAACAGGAAUAAAAGUAGUAUCGAUUGAACUACUAGUUAGUUGCAUGGUUGCAUAAACUGCAUGAAUUUCAUAUUGCAUUUUGUGAGGCACAACAUGUAUUUCAAUACUUGAAUAUAUGUAUCUGUUGGAUAUCUGUUGGACUAACAUGUUGCAGGGCCUCCUUAGACCUAUUGGUCGAGCUUUUCCCUUGGGUGGCCGUACCCACUGGGAACCAUGGAGUUGGUUCUCACCCCACGUUGUUUUGGGGUGUUACAGGUUCGCACAUGAGCGGCGCAACGGCGCGAGGCGAGGGCGUAGCUCCAUAGAUAGCGCCCUACCCCAGAGACCAGAGAUAGAGGUACCCCGAGUCGGCAUAGCCUAGGGGUAGAGGGAAAAGAAAAAAAGCAAACUUGUAUUAAUAUUGCGAUCAUUGAUUGUAUUUGGAAGAAAAUAUAAUGUAAUAAUGCUAAUGUGAUGUAAAAAUGAAUCUAAUGAAUGCUUGUAAUAACAUAGGAUGUGUUAUGUUGUUUGAUACCUUCCUUAUGCAAUCUUGCUUGAAUACUGUUCCUGGUUGGAACUUCUUGUACUUGUAUUGAUUGCGACGCCUAGGACGUACAGGGGAGACUCUGUCCGUUCGGCGGUCUGUCGGCGGCGCCGCGACCUCGGCCAAAUAGGCGGGUGGUUGCGGGUCGUGACAGUGUAAUAAAUAAAAAAAUAGGAUCACGAAAAAAAUUAAUUUUAGCUUGAUAUUAUAUUGACAACACCGUUUUUAGUCGAAACUACAUGGAAUAUGGAUCAGAUAAUGGAUUGGUCAUUUUGGAUUCUGUGUUUCAAAGCUUUGAUAUUGUGGUCUUGAGAAGGAGUUGAUAGAUGUGCAUAGUGAGUCUACUCCCCAAUAAACUCGAGCUUAAUACGACAUGAAGAUUACAAUCUCAAUGAGUUUAACAACCAAAUACUUACCAUAAUAUCUUACAAUCUGAAUUUGAUGGAAUGAUUCAUAACCUUUUUUUUUCUCUAUUCUAAAUAAUCUUUUUAUUCCUUUACUCUUUAGGAAAACAUAAGUAAGUGUUUUUUUCCCCUUUUUUGUUCUUUUUUAGCCAAAAAUUUCUUCCAGUGCUAUUACAUUUCUUGGUUCUGAUACUUUAGCUACACAUUUGGAAUUCAACUUAGCCCUUCUAUAAAACUGAAGCCACAAAGAUAUUGUUUUUAAAGAAAUAUAGCAUUUUUGGAGGUUAAAGUGGUCAUUUCAUAGAAGAAAAUGAUACGAAAACUCGCUGUCGUUUUGAAUUCUAUAUUAAGUAAUACUAUAUCCACUAACACUCCUAAAACUUUUUCCACUAAAAAUUACUAGCUGUUUCCUCGCAAAAGUUAAAUAUAUCAACUUAAUAGUUAUAAGUUCGAAGUCUAAUUACUUCAUAUUUCCAACUAAAUUUAUUUCUAAAAUAAAUGAAAAAAAUAUAAAGCAUGCGACCAUUAAUUCUCUUAAAAAAAAAUUAUGGAUAAAUUGACCACAGUUAUCAUACUAAUUUUUAACAAUUAAAUGUUAAAGAUCAUUUCAUUUACCACAAACUGACUUUUGAGGUUAAAAAGACCCCUUUGCGUAUAUUGCUUUGCAGCUUUUUUUUGGUUAUAUUUUUAUUAUCUAUAAAUGAAUGAAAGUUUAGAUAAUUCCGAUGCACUUGACUCGCAUCCUUUUACUUAAUUACCACCUAAUUGUUGUUAACCAAACCCAGCCCAAAAUGAACAAAAGUACCACUACAAGCCCAUUCUUAGCUUAAUGGGCCCACCAAGAUCUGCCCCUAUUUUGUAGUUGAUGCCAUAACCCUAAGAACUGUUCAAUCAUUGAUAUUAUGAGCUUACUAACUUUGCCCACUAGAAAAAGUCUUUUUUUUUUUUUAAAUAGACAUAGUAAGGUAAUAUGUUAUACAUUUUAUUCAAUUUUUUAAAAAUAAAUUUAACAAAAAAUAUAAAACAAUUAGAAUUUAAAUUUAAGAUUUGUGUCUAAUUAAAAUUUUAGGAUUAAAUUUUUUAAUACCCUUCUGCAAAGGAUGUAAUUUUAAUAGAUGCCCUUCCAAAUUGAAAAAUAAUAUUAGUCUCCUUAUAUAUAGAAAAAAAAAAUAGAAUUUAAGCUUGGGAUUUGAAGGAAUAUUAGUCUCCUUAUAUAUAUAAAGAUAUUAGUACUAUUUUAAAUUUUGAAUGGUAUUGUAUUAGGUAGAGUAAAAACGUUUUACUCUAUUUAUUUGUUUAUAGUAAUAAAUAGGCUGCAAUAAUAUUUUUUUUUAUAAUUUUGUCGAAAAAUCAAAAAAACUACAACAUACCUACUAGAUUGCUUAAAGAUUUGACAUCAGAUCAGACAUAAAUCAAAAGAAUUUCAGCAGGCUAAAAAGAAGCAAACACCAGAAAAAAUAAAUGUAACAUAUAGUAGUUAAGGACAAUGGAGAUUAUGAUAUAAAGUUAGGGUUAAACGAGUAGAUAGAAACUGCUUCAAUCAGUUUAAAGUCGAUCAAAUGACAAAUGUUGGAUCUUGGCAUUAAUGUUAUUGAGAGUUGGAGGAACCAUAAGGAAAUAAAAGGUUGAUUCUAGCGAUUACAAAAAUAGUGGGUCAUUCCAUUUCAACUUCGCAAUGAGGUUAAUUUCCAAUUAUUAUAGGAUUGAAAAUAGAAGGUUGAUUCUAGCGGUUACAAAAAAUAAUGGGACAUUCCAUUUCAACUCGGCACUGAUAUUAAUUUCCAAGUAUUAUAGGAUUGAAUUCGGUUUUGAAAGAUUUGUUAAACUGCUUUCCUCUGGAAUGAGACUCAUUUAGGAUGACUUCCACACCAUACUGCAAGUACGGGCAUCGAUUUCUUCCGACUAACGUUUCACGAUCCAAAUCCAUUCAACAACAUUAAAAUUUUCGAUUUAAACACCGAGAUCCAGAACUACCUAGCGCACAUAUCUUAGGUAGUUACUGCUCUCAGGAUUAUAGUAUGGCAUUGUUAUAGUUUCUCUUUUAAGUGAUAGCUUUGUGAAAAGAUGUAUAGAAUGAAAGGUUGAUUGAAGGUCUUACCGUAAUAGAGUGCAAAGGGGUUCCAUUCUACUUCAUAAAAGAAACUCGGAGGGUGGUAAACAAACUACACAACAAUUUAAAGAUUUUUUUGAAAAAAAAGUAGUACAACAUAAAGUAUAAAAAAAAAAACUAAUGUACCAAAGAGUAAUUAAGCCUAAUUUGGUCUUUUAGCUUCUUUAUUUUAAUUUUCAUGAUUUAAAUUUGUAACAUAACACUUGGCUUAAAAGCUCGCAAAACAGAAAAGUUAUCAUUUUCUUCUUUUCAUUAUGAUAAUCUAUUAGGUAUUUUUGAACUUCAUAAUUGAUCUUUCAAAUUUUAUCAACAAUCAUAUUUCAAGUGUAUUCUUAUCUUUGAUAUAAGAAUGAUAGAUCAUAACUACUAGAUUUCAUUCUUCUGUACUUGAUAUCUAUCAUUUUCCUUUGGUUUUAUACUAAGUCCUACUAUUGAGUAGUAUUUUCUUUUUAGAAUAGGUUGAUUUAGUGUCAGAUGGAUUAUGCUACAAUAUAUAGAGAAAGACGAAAAUUUCGAAAGUUUGUUCUUGAUAAUCGCCAAAACAGUCGGGGGAUCUCUGCCACAGUUAAUUCAAAUUACACUGACGAUACUCUGCCUUUGGAUUAUGAGACCUCACUUACUUUGUUCAGCAAACGGAAAAAAAUCUCAAAAAGCAACAAUUUAACAGUUGGUGAUCUUCAUGCAUAACAUGAAUCUAUUGGCAGUUUAAAACGGAAAAGAAUCUCAAAAAGCAGCAAUUUAACAGUUGGUGAUCUUGGUGCACAACAUGAAUCUAUUGGCAGUUCAUCUCAAAGUACAAUUCAUAGAGGGCAAGACAUAGAACAAUCAAACCUUGGAAUGCAAGAAUAUGAGUGUCAAUCAUGUGGGGCUGUACUUUGGUACGACGAAAGAAUCAAAUCUUGCAACGAAAAUACUCUUCGCUUUUCAAUUUGCUGUUCCGACGACAAAGUUGUCAUACCGCUUUUGCCUCAAACACCUGAAAUAUUAGACCAUUUAUUGGACUACAAUGGUAGUAGUGAAUCAACGAAAUUUAGAGAAAAUAUUCGUGUCUACAAUUCUAUGUUUGCAUUUACAUCGAUUGGGGCAAAAAUUGAUAAUGAAAUUAAUAGAAAACCUGGCCCUUACGUAUUCAGAAUAUCCGGGCAAAAUCACCACAGAGUGGGUUCUUUACUUCCUGUUGAUGGAGAACGUCCGAAAUUUGCCCAAUUAUACAUUUAUGACACAGAAAAUGAAAUCGAUAAUAGAAUAAGAUUAUUUAAUGCAUCUGAUGAAUUGCAAAAUAUUGAUAGAAUUAUUGUUGGCCAACUUGUAGAACGCAGCGAAAGUUUUCGGUUCGUACCUUUUUGCGGAAGCGAUUCGAGCCAGAUCGGAUUGAUUGAUUUACGUGUCCUUGAAUCUUCCUUGAAAAUCUUCUAACUCUCCGAACUCGCGGUGGAUCGAACUACAAACGAGCGCGAUCGCAAAUCCACCGUGCAAGUCCUUCUAGAAUAAUAGGUCAAUGGAGGAUGUGGUUUCUCUCUUUUUUCGUUCUUUCCGUAUAUUCCGUUAUGUNAAAAAAAAAAAAAAAUUCAGACGCUUUUCCGCUAUCUUCUAAACUCAAAGGGACCCCGGGGCGUGACAGAGGAUCACCUCCUAAAGUACCAAGUGCAUAAUUUGCAGCAACCCAAGCAUAGAUUCCUUCAUCAUAACCUGUUUCCAUCUCAGCACAUUUCAGAAAAAAAUCCUAAAGACAAAUUCUACUGAACUGAAUGUUGCUGUGUGGAGAUAUAGAUAUGACUACACAUAGAUUUAUUGUAAGAACCUUUCUUUAAGUUCUUUAACUUCCUUGCAUAAUUCUAUCAUGUUCUGGUUCUUUGUCUGCCAUAGACCUCGCACCUGUUUUCAAGAGACAUUUAGUAAAUAUCAUAGACAAAAGCUCUUAAUAGCAUCACAGUUGAUAAAUUCACAUGUAUAUAAGGAAAGAAGAAAAGAAUGUGCCAUAAUGGUAUUAGAUAUAAAUGAUGAUAAGGGUCCGAUAGGUAUGCAGUGGGUUUUUCUUUGUUUAAUUGUGUUAUUUUGAUAGUUCCUUUUCAUUGUGAAAUUUUUUAAGUCCAAAUGUGUUACUUGAGUAGUAGCGUUAUUGAAUCCGAGGAUGCUCCACAGAGGAAAUUAGUCAAUAAUGUAGUUAUGUCCAGGGGUUAUUUUGAUAGUUCCCUUUCAUUGUGAACUUUUUACGUCCAAAUGUGUUACUUGAGUAGUAGUGUUAUUGAAUCCGAGGAUGCUCCGCAGGGGAAAUUAGUCAAUAAUGUAGUUAUGUCCAGGGGUGAAUCAUACAAAAUUUUUGGAGAGGCACAGUGAUUAAUUUGAUAAUAUUCUUCCUUUUUGUUCAGUUACAGAGGGCCAAAAUAUCACAAUUAUAUUUACUGCAGCUAUUAAUUACACUAACUGUAUAGUAGGGGGAUAACAGAAAACAUUAUAUGCUUCAUUUUGUGUUUUUCGUACAUCUGCAAUCAUUUGAAAAGGUUGUAGGGAUGAUUAAUCAAAACAUUACCAAGUCAUAGUUGAUGGAACUAUAUCAUCAUAUCUUUUCUUUUUAAGAAAGUAGAACUUUUUUUAAAAAAAAUAGUUUUACUUUUUAAUGAUAGAGGGAGGGGUAUUGCAAAUAUCAGGAGUUUAAAAUUUGGGAACAUCCUCCCUGUAUGCAAGGUUCAAACCUUUUAUAUUCAACUUUCCCAUAAGCCUACUAAUAGGAUCCUUGCACACUGCUGGUUUGGAUCUUCACAACUCCUCCAAUUAAGCUCCCUUCUCCCAAAUACUCUGCUGCCAGCCAGCAGAGAAAUGAGGGUAAUUGGAGAAAUUAGACGAAAUUUGUUGCGAGGAUGGAGUUCCUAGGUGGAGAAGAAUUAAGUUAGAGUUCCACCAACACUCCAACUCAAGAAAGUGGAAACCAAGUAAUCCACAAUUACAUCAAUUAUCACAAUACUCUCAACAUACCGAAAUUUCAGCAAAGAUAUCAAAUGUACACAUAGCAGCUGUUAUCUAGAGCCUUUUGCCACACAGCAAUGUCACCCUUUUUAUUGUAUAGUUUGAAGCACAGGAUUGCAAGCAAUUUCUCUAAUUUGUGAAAACCUUCUUUUGCAUUAGUUUCUGCUUCCUUUUCUUUUAUUUCUUUUUCGUUUCUAAAAUUUUUCUACAGUUCAAACAAAUUCCUUACACAACUUACUCUUUAACCGUCAUCGUACAGUGAUCAGGCAAUUUGAUCUAUAUCUAUCUAUACCUUAUCAUUACCUCAUGAACUAUAAACCUCUCUAAACUUCAAUCUUAUUUUUUCAUAAUAUACUAUAAUGUAAACUACUCUCCAGUUUGGAAUUUGAACUGCUUAUCUUAUUGUUUCCUUUUUAAUUAACUCUUUUUAUAUUUCUCUACAGAAACUGACGAUGAUUUGAAACAGUUGUUGUCGAUCUAUUUGCUGUUGCCUCACUUCCGUACUACUGUAAGUCCUAAUUCAACUCUAUGUUAUUGAAAAGAUUUAAUAUACUGCCUAUUAUUGCUCUUCUUUUGCUUCGGAGUUAUUCAUAGAAAUUAUUUUUUCUACAAGAAUUUUUCUAAACAUGUCAGCUUUGUGAUUGGUCAUAAUGGUAUAGGCGGUUUUGGUGAGCUUAAUAAAUAUGUGAUAAUUUUGUCUUAGGAAUAACAGGAAAAAGAAAUUAAAAUCUUACAAAAAUCAGGAAUCCAGAAAUUAGUUCAAGAUAAUUUCUUACAUGAAAUAUUAAAAUUUGAGCUUGGGGACAUUGCAUAGCACACUGAUAUCUUGGUCUUGGAACACAACACAAACAUGGAAACAACCAGUUCAUGAAAAAGUGAUUGAAUGUUAGAACUAACUCAAAAUACUUCUACUCAGACCCCAUCCUGGUGUUAAGUAUUAAUUUGAACAUCCAGGUGGAGUCAAGUGGUUGAAUUAAUGGGAGAACAAAAUGCAGGUUUAGUUACUAUAGACAGAGUUUGUUAAAUUUGAAUUCUGCAGAUUGCAGAACAUUCGAAAAUGAUUGCAAACUAUCUAUAGAGAAAUCGGGUCUUGAUAUUUGCUUAUAGUGAAACACAUUUUUAUCACACGAAAUUUAACACAAGGUUUAAACCUCUUGGUUAGCCACAAACACAACAAACUACAACUGUUUUUCCUAUGAUUGCAAAUUAUCUAUAGAGAAAUCGGGUCUUGAUAUUUGCUUAACACAAGGUUUAAACCUCUUAGUUAGCCACAAACACAACAAACUUCAAAUUUUUCCUACUUAACUCUUUUGCAUCGGAAUGGAAUCUAGGUUGACGAAAAUCAAGCCCUUUGCGUCAAAGUUAUAUGAUCUGGAGCACUGAGAUGCCUAAACUACUUGACCACUUUCGGAUUUUGACACCCUAAUUAACUUAUAAUUUUUAUAUACAAAAAUUCUUAAAAAGCUGCUCCACAGCUCCAAAGAUGUAUAGGUCAGAACUACAACGUACCUACUAGCUUGCUUAAAGAUUUGACAUCAGAUCUGAUAGAAAUCAAAAAGAAUUUCAGCAGCCUAAAAAGAAGCAAACACCAGGAAAGAUAAAUGUAACAUAUAGUAGUUAAGGACGACGGAGAUUAUGAUAUAAAGUUAGGGUUAAACAAGUAGAUAGAAAUUGCUUCAAUCGGUUUAAAGUCGAUCAAAUGACAAAAAAAUUAAACACGUACGUAGGACAGUAAAAUGCCUUUACUAUGCUUUAACAUAACAACAACAUACUAGCAUCUAAAACAGCAAUAGAAAGAAAGUAGUCACAAGAAGUGUUGGAUCUUGGCAUUAAUGUUAUUGAGAGGUAGAGGAACCAUAACGAAAUAGGAGGUUUAUUCUAGCGAUUACAAAAAACAAUGGGUCAUUCCAUUUCAACUUGGCACAGGUUAAUUUCCAAUUAUUAUAGGAUUGAAAAUAGAAGUCACUGAUGUUAAUUUCCAAGUAUUAUAGGAUUUAAUUCAGUUUUGAAAGAUUUGUUAAACUACUUUCCUCUGGAAUGAGACUCAUUUAGGAUGACUUCCACACCAGACUGCAAGUACGGGCAUCGAUUUCUUUAGACUACCGUUUCACGAUCCAAAUCCAUUCAACAACAUUAAAUUUGUCGAUUUAAACACCGAGAUCCGGAACUACCUAUCGCACAUAUCUUAGGUAGUUACUGCUCUCAGAAUUAUAGUAUGGCAUUGUUAUAGUUUCUGUUUAAGUGAUAGCUUUGUGAAAAGAUGUAUAUAAUUAUUAUAGUUUCUGGACAAUAAAGUCAGUAGAAUCAAUAGGAAAAGACAAUGACAAUAAAUAUGUCAAACAGUGAAUGAAUAUCUUGAUUUUGAAAUUCCUUUAGCCAUAACUUGAAAUUCCUUUAGCCAUGACUUGAAAUUCUUUCACAAUUUCUAAAAGCAAUAGAAUGAAAGGUUGAUUGAAGUUCUUACCGUAAUAGAGUGCAAAGGGGUUCCAUUCUAGUUCAUAAAAGAAACUUAGCUUUGUGAAAAGAUGUAUAUAAUUGUUAUAGUUUCUGGACAAUAAAAUCAGUAGAAUCAAUAGGAAAAGACAAUGACAAUAAAUAUGUCAAACAGUGAAUGAAUAUCUUGAUUUUGAAAUUCCUUUAGCCAUAACUUGAAAUUCCUUUAGCCAUGACUUGAAAUUCUUUCACAAUUUCUAGAAGCAAUAGAAUGAAAGGUUGAUUGAAGUUCUUACCGUAAUAGAGUGCAAAGGGGUUCCAUUCUACUUCAUAAAAGAAACUCGGAGGGUGGUAAACAAACUACACAACAAUUUAAAGAUGUUUUUGAAAAAAAAUUAGUACAACAUAAAGUCUAAAAAAAAAUAAUGUACCAAAACAUAAUGAAGCCUAAUUUGGUCUUUUAGCUUCUUGAUUUUAAUUUUCAUGAUUUCAAUUUGUAACAUACCACUUGGAUUAAAAGCUCGCAAAACAUAAAAGUUAUCAUUUUCUUCUUUUCAUUAUGAUAAUCUAUUAGGUAUUUUUCAACUUCAUAAUUGAUCUUUCAGAUUUUAUCAACAAUUAUAUUUCAAGCGUAUUCUUAUCUUUGAUGUAAGAAUGAUAGAUCAUAACUACUAGAUUUCAUUCUUCUAUACUUGAUAUCUAUCAUUUUCCUUUGGUUUUAUACUAAGUCCUACUAUUGAGUAGUAAUUUUGUUUUAGAAUUGGUUGAUUUAGUGUCAGAUGGAUUAUGCUACAAUAUCUAGAGAAAGAUGAAAAUUCCGAAAGUUUGUUCUUGAUAAUCGCCGAAACAGUCGGGGGUUCUCUGCCACAGUUAAUUCAAAUUACAAUGAUGAUACUCUGCCUUCGGAUUAUGAGACCUCACUUACUUUGUUCAGAAAACGGAAAAGAAUCUCAAAAGCAGCAAUUUAACAGUUGGUGAUCUUGAUGUACAGCAUGAAUCUAUUGGCAGUUCAUCUCAAACUACAAUUCAUAGAGGGCAAGACAUAGAACAAUCAUACCUUGGAAUGCAAGAAUAUGAGUGUCAAUCAUGUGGGGCUCUACUUUGGUAUGACGAAAGAAUCAAAUCUUGCAACGAAAAUACUCUUCGCUUUUCAAUUUGUUGUUCCGACGGCAAAGUUGUCAUACCGCUUUUGCCGCAAACACCUGAAAUAUUAGACCAUUUAUUGGACUACAAUGGUAGUAGUGAAUCAACGAAAUUUCGAGAAAAUAUUCGUGUCUACAAUUCUAUGUUUGCAUUUACAUCGAUUGGGGCAAAAAUUGAUAAUGAAAUUAAUAGAAAACCUGGCCCUUACGUAUUCAGAAUAUCCGGGCAAAAUCACCACAGAAUGGGUUCUUUACUUCCUGUUGAUGGAGAACGUCCGAAAUUUGCCCAAUUAUACAUUUAUGACACGGAAAAUGAAAUCGAUAAUAGAAUGAGAUCAUUUAAUGCAUCUGAUGAAUUGCAAAAUAUUGAUAGAAAUAUUGUUGGGCAACUAAUAGAAAUGUUCGAUCAUAAAAAUGAGAUAGUAAAAUCAUUUAGAAUGGCGAGGGACCGAUUCAAAGAAGAUGAUUUUUUGCCUAUCCGCUUGAGGUUGAUUGGCAGUCGUGCAGACAGGUCUCAGUAUAAUCCUCCUUCAUGUUCCGAGAUUGCUGGUUUAAUAAUUGGUGAUUUUGGUCAUGCAGAUCGUCAACGAGAUAUUGUGGUUGACCAUAAGAUGGAAGGACUUAAACGUAUUAGUGAUUUGCAUCCUUCAUUCAUGGCAAUGCAAUAUCCUAUAUUGUUUCCAUAUGGAGAAGAUGGUUUUAGGCUAGGCAUGAAAUAUAACAGUGGUUCACACAGGAAAAUUGGUUCUAGGAAAUGUAUUACAAUGCGUGAAUUUUAUGCAUACAGAAUACAAAAUAGAAUAUUUGAGGGAAAAACACUAAUAAGAGGAGGUAGACUUUUUCAACAAUAUUUGGUUGAUGCAUUUUCCUGCAUCGAAGAAGAUCGUCUCGAUUAUAUUAGGAGAAACCAGGCAAAUUUGCGCACGGAGGUUUAUAGUGGAAUUAAAGAUGCUGUUGUUGCAGGCGAUGUUGAUGGUAACGCAAUUGGUAAAAAAACAAUUCUACCGGCGAGUUUCACUGCCGGUCCCCGUUACAUGAUUCAAAACUAUCAGGAUGCUAUUGCCAUCUGUAGACAUUGUGGACAUCCGGAUUUGUUCAUCACAUUUACCUGUAAUGCACAAUGGCCUGAAAUACAAAAUGCCUUACAAUUUAUUCCCGGUCAAAAAGCAGAAGAUCGUCCGGAUAUAGUAAGCAGGGUUUUCAAGAUGAAAGUUAACGCAUUAAUGGCAGAUAUUAAAAAAGGAAACUAUUUUGGGAGAACUAUAGCUGGUACACUUCUAUUUUAUAUAUUUUUUGUUCUUUACUAAAAAAAUUCCUUCUUUAUUUGCUUCUUACCGUUCUUCUUUUUUUCACCAUGUAGAUUUGUAUACAAUUGAAUUUCAAAAAAGAGGUCUCCCUCAUGUGCAUAUCUUAGUUUGGUUACAUCCAGAUCAUAAGUUGCCAACAACUACGGACAUAGAUUCAAUUAUUUUUGCCGAAAUACCAGAUAAAGAUAUUGAUCCAAUUGGAUAUGCCACUGUUUCAAAAUUUAUGAUACAUGGACCGUGUGGCUCUGCAAAUUCUAAAGCACCGUGUAUGGUUAAAGGUCGAUGCUCAAAACAUUUUCCAAAAGAAUUCAGAAAUGAAACAACUGUGGAUGAUAGCGGAUUCGCUAUUUAUAGAAGAAGAAACAAUGAAAGGUUCGUCACAAAAAAGGGCAUUAAUCUUGACAACAGAUAUGUUGUGCCGCACAACUUGACGUUAGUAGUUAAAUAUCAAGCUCAUAUUAAUGUUGAGUGGUGCAACAAAUCAAGAUUAAUAAAAUAUUUAUUUAAGUACAUCAAUAAGGGUUCAGAUAGAACAAGGGCUGUAAUAGAGGACAACUAUUUGUGCAACAAUGGUUGUCGUGAUGUACAAUAUAAGCAGAUUGACGAGAUUAAAAGAUACUUGGAUUGUAGAUAUUUAUCGGCGUAUGAAGCUGUUUGGAGAUUAUAUCAAUUUGAUAUACACUCUAGAGAACCUACAGUUGAACGAUUGACUUUACAUUUGCCGCUGAUGAAUAAUGUGACAUAUCAUGAAAGUCAAAACUUAGUUGAUGUUCUAGAUCGAUGCAAUGUCGAGAAAACAAUGUUUACUGAGUGGAUGGAAACAAAUGCAAAUUAUGAUGAUGCCCGCGAACUAACUUACGCAGAAUUUCCAACAAAAUGGGUUUGGCAUUCAACUGACAAAAUAUGGACAAGACGUAAAAAAGGAAAUCGAAUUGGAAGAAUUAUUUAUAUUCAUCCAAAUGCCGGUGAGCUUUAUUUUUUAAGAAUGCUACUGAAUAAGGUUAAAGGGCCGAGAAAUUAUAUUGAAAUUAGAACUGUUGACAAUAUUGUGUAUGAAACAUACCGCGCUGCAUGUGAUGCACUUGGAUUGCUGGGUAAUGACAUAGAAUGGCGCGAAGCAAUAGAGGAAGCAUCUCAUUGGUCUUCUCCUGCUGAUUUGAGACAACUUUUUGUUACUUUGGUUAUGUUUUGUGAGGUAGCUGAUCCUGUAAAAUUGUGGAAUGAUUUUUGGAAACUCUUUGCGGACGAUAUUUUAUAUAGAUUAAAGGAAGUAUUGGAAGUUCGUGAACUGCGAAUACCAGAAUUACAGUUACAAAAUUACAUUUUAUUUGAGCUAGAAGUGUUGUUCAAUAAAAGUUGCAGCUCCCUCUCUCAGUUCAAUCUACCAAUUCUUGAUAGAUUGAUUUUGGAAGAUAUGAGUAACAAGUUGUUGAGAGAAGAAUUAGAUUAUGAUGCGGAUGCUUUAAAAUGUGAACAUACAAGGUUAUUUAGCGAAUUGAAUGAUGAGCAGAAGAGUAUAUAUAACUAUGUUUUGACUUCUAUUUAUGAAGAUANUUCAAUCUACCAAUUCCUGAUAGAUUGAUUUUGGAAGAUAUGAGUAACAAGUUGUUGAGAGAAGAAUUAGAUUAUGAUGCAGUACAAGGUUAUUUAGCGAAUUGAAUGAUGAGCAGAAGAGUAUAUAUAACUAUGUUUUGACUUCCAUUUAUGAAGAUAAAGGAGAUGCGAUUUUCGUAUAUGGUUAUGGUGGAACAGGAAAAACUUAUUUAUGGCAGACAAAAUCUCAAAACUUCGUUCAGAAGGGAAAAUAGUUUUGGCUGUUGCAUCAUCUGGAAUUGCUUCGUUUCUACUUCCUGGUGGGAGAACGGCUCAUUCUAGAUUCAAGAUACCUAUAAAAGUAGAUGAGUUCUCAACAUGUGAAAUUAAAAAAGGAACUCAACUCGCAAAAUUACUUGAUCGCACUAGCUUAAUUAUAUGGGAUGAAGCACCGAUGAACCAUAGAAAUUGUUUUGAAGCUUUAGAUAAAUCAUUAAGAGAUAUUUUACAAACAGAUACUGGAGAUGUUCAACAAAAGUUAUUUGGCGGCAAAACUAUUGUAUUCGGAGGGGAUUUUCGUCAAAUACUUCCUGUUAUUAUUGGCGGCACGAGACAGGAUAUAGUUAAUGCAGCAAUCACUAGGUCAUAUAUUUGGGAUAGUUGUAGAGUCUUUCAACUAUCAACAAAUAUGAGAUUGCUUAAAUGCUCAGAGAAUGAGAUGUCAAAAAAGGAAUUGGCGGACUUCGCAAAAUGGAUUCUAGAUUUGGGUAAUGGAAAAUUAGAUGCCAUCAAAUUAGACAAUGAAGAAGAGGCUACUUGGAUCAAGAUACCAGAUGAUUUGCUCAUAAAAAGUAGUGGAGAUGGUAUUAAAGAUAUUGUUUCUACAGUAUAUGAUGACCUUCAAGGAAAUUACAAAAAUAUCACGUACUUAAGAGAUAGAGCUAUUAUCACACCAAUGAAUGAAACAGUUGAUGAAAUAAAUAAUUAUGUCUUAUCUUUAUUGCCGAAUGAAGAGAAAGUAUACAUGAGUUCCGAUUCAAUUUGUAGCUCCUCAAAAAAUGCUGAUGACAAUGAUGUUCUCUAUCCAGUUGAAUUCUUAAAUUCUAUAAAGGUUAAUGGUGUGCCUCACCAUGAACUAAAAUUGAAAAUAGGAAGUCCGAUAAUGUUGCUACGUAAUAUUAGCCAAGGUUCUGGACUGUGUAAUGGAACUCGCUUAAUUGUUACUCAAUUGGCUUCGAAAGUUAUUAAGGCACAGAUAUUCACUGGAAAUCAUGCAGGUGAAAAAGUGUCACGCCCCGGGGCCGAUUUUCAAAGCCAUUUUGAAAAUUCAUUACCAUUUUGAAAACUCAGAGUCGCGGAAGAUGUACUUUUUUUUUUCUUUUUUUUUUCAACCUGGCCCACGUGACGUACAGACCCGCCACAAAUACAAAGUUCCUCUGUCCACUCGGACAGAGUCUCCUUUGUAUUUGCACGGCGUACCAACGAUACAACAGGAUCACAACCACAACCUACAAUUACCAAUCAACAACCAAAAUGAUAUGCAUUCUCAUACAGCUAACAAUCCUUAGAGAUGAUGCAUGCCUCUAAGCACUCCUUAGGCGUUGGAUGAUGCAAUGCACAGUACAACAAUCAUCCUAUUUAAAAGUGCUCCCCACACGGAAGCUUUUGUUUUUAAACUCUAAUUCAUUCAUUCAUGAAAACCAUUCGAAAACCUUUUUAAAACUGUUUCCCACACGGAAACUCUAUUUUGAAAACCAGCUACCUCGAGGGGUAGAAAUCCACAAAGCGUAUAAAUCCAAUCUGAAACUAAGGAUCCAAAACCACGUAUCUGAAAACUCCAAUCUCAUGCAUACGAGGAAAACCAACUCAUUCAAACAAUCAUAAGAUCAUCUAAUCAUGCAUAACGGAAAUCACAACAUUCAAACAUCUAACUGAACCAUUUAUUUAAAUGACUACUAAAGGCAGGAAAGAAAUACAACCAGGGUGGCGAUCGCUAUACCAGACUAGCUAGAUCGUCCUCUNACGAAAAUUACUGAAACAACGGAUGAUGUUGAAUCAAUUCCAUCUCAUUGCUUUCAUUUUUCGAGUUUUGAUUAUAUUAAAGGUAAAAGAAACAAUGACUCCUGCCUUUUAGGUAACACCAUUUUCUUCUUCCUUUUAAUUCUUUCAUUUUAUUAAAGCAACACAAUAUACUUAUUCUGCAAUAACAUUCUGUUAACCCUCAUGUUGAUUAGAUGUGCUGGGAAGUAUUGCUACUAUUUGUCCUAUUUCUUAUACAUAUGUUGGUCAUGAGCUUACUCCAAUAAGAAAUAUGGAGAUAAAAGAUUUAGAGUAAGUUGAAUACUAUUUUAGCAUCUAAUUGUGUAACUUUAAUUCUUACCAUAUGUGAAACAAUUUAACUUAAAUAGUGAAAACAUUGUAGGGAUAAUACUUUUCCAGUGACUUUAUGGGACAAAUUUGCUAUGGAAUUUGAUGAAAAUAUAAUUUACGAAAAAGAAGCUGCUGGACCGGUUGUAGCUGCUGGACCGGUUGUAAUUAUCUUCGCAAGUAUGAGCGUGCGAAUGUAUAAAGGUUUGUCCAAUGUUUGCUUAUCUUAUAAUUGUUUGCAUUUAUUUCCAUCGCUAUUUAUGGUUCUUACACUUAUAUUUUACAUCUAUAUCCAGAGAAGCUAUAUCUGUCGACAUGUUCAGCAUCAAGGUUUUACAUUAAUUUGGACAUACCAGAAGUUACAACAUUUCGAAAUGCAUUGGAUAGGUAAGUAUCAUUAUCUGUAUAGUUUAUUCGAGUAUUUUUCAUAACUUACUUUUAUAGAUACUUUAAUGCAGAAGCCAACUACCUAUUGCACCAAUUAAACAUAUUGAAGCGGCACAACAACUAACUAUUAGCCCAUAUGAACAAAUGCUUAAGAAUCGUAAAACUGUUGCUGAAUUACUUGCAUUAAAUCCAAUGGAAGCUGAGGUAAAUAUAUUUAGAAUAUCUUUAAAUUGCCAAUUUUAUUCUUUCUCUUAUAUUCUCUACAAAUUGCUAUAUAUAUUAUUAAUUCAACAUAUAAUUGAAUAGAUGUAAUCUGUCAAGCUAAAUUAGUAGAAAUUGAUACGAUAUAUGGGUGGUGGUACAAGGCCUGCUAUGAUUGUAAAGGAGGAGUAAAAGAUUAUGAUGAUACUUUUUGGUGUAAUCAAUGUGGAAAAAAUGAUCAGUCACCUGUACCAUGGUACAUUUCUAAACCCAAAUACUACAAUUUCAAACAUGAAAUAUUCCUUUUUAAUUCGAAAAUUAUAUUAUCAUGUACUAAAUUAAUAUAGAGAUCAUUUUGAAAAAAAGGUACAAGUUAAAUGCCAUUGUUGCGGAUGAGACCAGUUCAGCGAACUUCACUAUUUUUGGCAAAACGGCGCAAGAUUUGAUACGAGUCCCUGCUCAACAACUUGCUACUGCAAUCAAUUCAAAUAGAUUUAUACUACCUCCUAUUAUUAAAAAUAUUGUUGGUCAAACUUUUAUUUUUCAAAUUUCGCUUGAGUCACGCAAAUUUAAUACAACUAUGCAAUCAUUCAAAGUCACAAAAAUUUUUCAAUCUGCUUUGACUGCAAAAAUCAAAAUAGAAGAAAAGGAAGAAGAUAUCAUAGACAUUACAGAAGAUGGUGCAGGGACAAGUCCUAAAGAAUUGCAAAUAGCGUAAGAAAAUAUCUCUAAUAUCUUUUUUCCUUUACGUACUUUCUUAAGUGUUUUACUCAAAAAAUUGAUUUAUUUCAAUUCUUUUGCAUGUAAUUUUUUUUUUCUUAUUGUGAUGUGAAGUUCAAAAUCCUAUCUGGAGGAAGCUGUGAAGGAAUCAAGAGGCAAAAGGAGAGUACUUAGGUAAUUCAUUGAUGACUAUAUAUUAAAUUAUAAAAAGUACAUAUAUUUGAGCAUUAUACCAAAAAUAAUAUUUAUUGACUUUCUUUUCUACGUGCAUUUCUGUAAAUUAUCCUUAUAAAAAGUUCUCAGCUGAAGUCAGAGGAAGCUAUUAAUCAAUCAAAGGGAAAAAGAAAAUUACGCAGGUAACAAUUAUAUUAAUAUUGUUUUGGAAAAGUGGUCAAUGCUUAUUUUAUUUUUCAAUUGAAAUGAACAUAAAAUAACUGGCAUUUGUUUUCUGUUUUGUAGUUACAUUGAGAGUUCUGAAUCUGAUGGAGAAGAAAAAUGAAGUCACAACAACUAUUUUCUAAGUGAUGUUGAAUUUGUAGGUGCAACUUAUUUUCUACUCAAAUGCUAAACAUUUUGCAUAUACGGAUCCAAUCGUCUUUUUCCUCCUCUUUUCUAAGUCCCCUCAAAAUUAAUGCCAAGAUCCAACACUUCUUGUGACCACUUCCUUUCUAUUGUUGUUUGCUGUAAUUUGUGCAAGAAAAUUUGUACUUUUGCUUUCUGGGUUUGCAGUCUAUUUUGAGUUAAUUGAAAGUUAAUGUUGUCUAUUUCAAAAAUCUAUUUGGCAAAGUAAUUGGUGUUUCUAUUUUUAUUUAUUGUUCUGUUUUCUUUCUCUAUCUGUCUUUAUGCUAGAAUAAAUAGAUAUUUUGAAGAUCAUUAGAAAAUGCUUUGAUUAUUUUAUAGGUUGUGUCAUGCUAUGAAGAUACUUCUUUUCUGAGAGGAAUUGGGGGAAGCGUCAAUCUUGAUGGUUGGCUCUUGGAAUAUUCUUCCAGAUUAUUAUUUUCUCUUGAUGGUCUACUUCUUAUGUUAUUGCCCUAUUCUUUUUGUAGCAUCAAAAUAUUUCCUUCGUUUUUUCUAAUUUCCCAUUCGAUUGGUAGUUUUUCCUUCUAUUUCAUUUAUUUAAGGAAUGGAAUGGUAGGCUGUGAAGUAUGCACAAUAAAAUAUUAAUUUGAAUUGCUUUCUUCUUCUUUUUUUCUUUUUUUUUUUUAAUGUUUGAUUUGAGAGAUUGACGAUAUGGAACGUUCCAUGGACAAUCCGAGUCGAUCCGGUAAACUGCUAGGAAGGUUUAUCCUAUCUUUAUAUAAUAGUAAAUAUAGUAAUUGGCUGGGCUACUUUCCCCAGGAAGGGAAGCAGAAUGGGAUUCAUGCAUCGAAGCAUUAUUGGGGAUUUUCGAACUAAUGCUGCAUCUGAUCUGCUAAUAGAAUCUGAUAUUAUAUCUGUUCCUCGAACAGGUGAAUCAUAAAUUUUAUUAUUUAUAAAUUUUUUACUUUAGCAGUAACUACCCGCCGCAUCGCGCGGGUACCUACACUAGUGAGAUCUAGUUCAGAUUGCCUCGGCUAGCAGCUAAACUUUCAGGGUUGUAGCUUUUGUUUCACCUUCGUGCCUCGCGAGGCACGAAGGCUUUCGUGGGGUCUGCGUGAGUAUAUAUAUAUAUAUAUAUAUAUAUAUAUAGAGAGAGAGAGAGAGAGAGAGAGAGAGAGAGUACAAGUGUGUGGGGGGCGUUAUCUAGUGGUCACCUUUUUCCAUCUCAUCUUUUUUAUUCUUUUUGCAUUAAAAUGUGAGGGGAGGGGGUUAGUUUGCUUGCAAACAAAACAAACUCGUGAGCCGAAAAAGAACCUGAUCCACGCCCCUUUCCUUCGAGGUGGAGAAAUCAACUACCACUUCCCAGACGGAGAGAGAGAGAGAGGUUUCCAUACUCUUCGUCUUUUUCUUUUUUUUUUUCUUAUCUUACACUUUACAACAAAAUACAAUAACCAAGUUUAACACUCUUGUUAAUACCGACCGUCCCUAGUACAAAUGGUAAAAGACUUAUGGUUAAUAUUCGAGAUCUCAAGUUCGAAUUUUAUCCAUCGGCUCGGUGAUUGGUAUUUGAGAUUCGAAGUUUGANUAGGGCUAGAAUACUUUUACAAGUAUCACCCAAGUGAUACUUGUGUGUUUUUAGCCCUUGGAUGGAGAGAUGUGAGGUUGAGAUGAUGGUGGUAGGUGGUGGUAGGUGGAAUAGUAUUUGAUCCAAGGGCUAUGUGUAAUCAAAAAGUAAAUCCAAUGGCUAAAAACGUGAUAGCAACAUGGGGAUGAUACUUGUAAAAGUAUCCUAGAUCAACUCUAUAAAUAUAUAUAUAUAUAUAUAUAUAUAUAUAUAUAUAUAUAUAUAUAUGAGUCCGGCUAGGGUACUAUCGAUAGCACUAAGGAUUUGGUGCUAUCGAGUUUUUCACUGUUAAAUUUAACCCUUUGAGUAUUUUUACCCGUUAGAGUAUACUAUUUAACCAACCACUUACUCAACCCUAGAGGGCCCACAUCAUCAUAACCGCACAUUUCUCAAUCCAGGGGCUAAAAAAUUAAUAGCACCAAUAACUUGGUACUAUUGAUAGUAUUCCAACCUAGUUCUCACUCUCUAUAUAUAUAAUGCAUCAAAAUUAAAAAUAUAAAAUUGAAUUUGCGCUUUUGAGGCGAGUAAAGCCAAAGAGGUUUACGAGUGCUUUUUGGAAAAGCUCCUUUAAUUAAGCAAAAUAAGCCGUGAUCAAGCAGUGAGCUCUCCCUUAAUUAAAUGUGUUUGCAGUGGAAGAGGCCAUGAAUAGUCGAUAUCCCUGUAACCCUAUUGCAAGACCCAAACAAUGAGCCUCCACAGUGACCUCAACAAGAAAACAAAAACCCCUAAUAAAUGCUCGUGAUGCUUUUGAGCUUUCCAACGAAUCAUCAUCUGUUGAAACAUCACAUUCCAUCUCUCCAUCAGUCAAACAGGGACUUAAAUACUCGCCCAUCAAAUAAUAUAAAUAAAUAAUAAAUAAAUAUAUAUAUAUAAAGGACUUAGGUUUUUUCACUUCUUAACUUUUGGAUCAAGGACAGUAUAAUUAGAAUGAUAGUAGACCCCUAUAUAAGGUUGAGUUAAUAAUUUGAAACAACCAACUCUUUUAUAUUUUCGAAAAAAUCAUAGUAGAAUAUAUAUAUAUAUAUAUAUAUAUAUAUGUAUAUAGGCCAAUUUGCAUAAAAAAUCCACUUAUUUUGGGAUUUUGCAAAACCGGGCCACCUUUUUCCUUUUUGCAGAUUCGGUCCGCUUUUUCCGCCGCCUGACCAAAAUGCCCCUCCUAUACAAUAGCCUCCCGCGUAUUUCUUGACAUACGUAUACUACCCUGCCGUACGUUCUGGCGCGCAUUAAAUGACCCGUUCAAUCUCAGUCAUUUCUCGGAACCCGGACAACAUCCGCCCCCGCUAUUCGCCGGCCCCGCUGUUUCCUGUUUGGCUUUAAUUCUUUAAUACAAUAAUUCACGAUAAAUGAGAAAAUAUGCACGGCCCGAGUAGGGAUAAUAGUGCAACGCAAAGUGAAACGUCCGAAAAAAUGGUACAACUGCCAUUAUAACAGUGCAUCGCUAGGUCGCACCAGUGCAACCUCUCCAAAAUCAGUCAAAAUUUUACUUUCUCUAUUCCUUAAUAUAAUCUCAACNNNNNNNNNNNNNNNNNNNNNNNNNNNNNNNNNNNNNNNNNNNNNNNNNNNNNNNNNNNNNNNNNNGAAAUUAAGAAGUGAAGACUCCGCUCGGAUAACCUCUCCAACGAACCCUUAUAAGUAGUACGAGUCUUUUCAAAAUAUUGCACUGGUUUACCAACCUUAUUGCACUUUCGUUGCACAUGUUUUAAAUCGAUUGCACUAUUAUUUAUACCCAUCUCCAUGAACGAACAUCAUACCACAUAUUAUCCUUGCACUUACGAUCUGCUUUGAAAAUUAUUGUAUCUUGGUUGUGUUUAUACACGACCUGCAACUAACAACAGCGGCUUCAUUAUUAUUUUGAGGAUAUUAUUUUGUUUAUGUUAAUGUUAAUACUACUAUUUCUAAGGUCUAUGUCUGUUAAAGGUAAUAUGUCAACAACCACGUGCUAUGUAGAAUGCGUUCAUAUAUUCUGUCGAAGCCUUUUCAUGCGUUAUAAAACCUGACUUUCGGUAAGAACAGUUUGUACAAUCGUCCAUAGGGACCCCUAUGUAACGCUCUCGGAAAAGCUCCUGCGCGCGGGCGACCUCCAGCGCCGCCGCCGUGCUUCUCUGCUUGCCUGACUCUUAGUCGCUACAUAUGUCGCCGACUCAUUGCGAUACCCGCAGCAACGUCCUGACCCCGACAGCUUCGUCUUCAUUGGAAUGGUAGCCCGUAUAAUUUGCAGAUACUAUGUUAGACUCUCUCUCUCUCUCUCUCUCUCUCUCUCUCUAUAUAUAUAUAUAUAUAUAUAUAUAUAUAUAUAUUGAGAGAGAGAGAGAGAGAGAGUUCAGCUACUAUAUUCUUAUGAGUAUAGUUCUUUUUGCACUCAUAAAUUUUCGGACGUUAGAUCUAUCAUUUUGAUUAUUUUUAUCCGUUUCAUCAUACUAUUCAACCAGUCACUCAUUUAACUUUAGGAAACUACUAUUAUUCUAAUCGAAGACUAUUAUUAUCCUAAUCGCACAUUCUUUUAUCUAACAGCAAAAAAUUUAUAAAUACAAAAUAGUUUAUACUCAUAAGAGUAUAAUAGCUCUACUAUAUAUAUAUAUAUAUAUAUAUAUAUAUAUAUAGGGCUAGAAUACUUUUACAAGUAUCACCCAAGUGAUACUUGUGUGUUUUUAGCCCUUGGAUGGAGAGAUGUGAGGUUGAGAUGAUGGUGGUAGGUGGUGGUAGGUGGAAUAGUAUUUGAUCCAAGGGCUAUGUGUAAUCAAAAAGUAAAUCCAAUGGCUAAAAACGUGAUAGCAACAUGGGGAUGAUACUUGUAAAAGUAUCCUAGAUCAACUCUAUAAAUAUAUAUAUAUAUAUAUAUAUAUAUAUAUAUAUAUAUAUAUAUAUNNNNNNNNNNNNNNNNNNNNNNNNNNNNNNNNNNNNNNNNNNNNNNNNNNNNNNNNNNNNNNNNNNNNNNNNNNNNNNNNNNNNNNNNNNNNNNNNNNNNNNNNNNNNNNNNNNNNNNNNNNNNNNNNNNNNNNNNNNNNNNNNNNNNNNNNNNNNNNNNNNNNNNNNNNNNNNNNNNNNNNNNNNNNNNNNNNNNNNNNNNNNNNNNNNNNNNNNNNNNNNNNNNNNNNNNNNNNNNNNNNNNNNNNNNNNNNNNNNNNNNNNNNNNNNNNNNNNNNNNNNNNNNNNNNNNNNNNNNNNNNNNNNNNNNNNNNNNNNNNNNNNNNNNNNNNNNNNNNNNNNNNNNNNNNNNNNNNNNNNNNNNNNNNNNNNNNNNNNNNNNNNNNNNNNNNNNNNNNNNNNNNNNNNNNNNNNNNNNNNNNNNNNNNNNNNNNNNNNNNNNNNNNNNNNNNNNNNNNNNNNNNNNNNNNNNNNNNNNNNNNNNNNNNNNNNNNNNNNNNNNUGUGUCAUGCUAUGAAGAUACUUCUUUUCUGAGAGGAAUUGGGGGAAGCGUCAAUCUUGAUGGUUGGCUCCUGGAAUAUUCUUCCAGAUUAUUAUUUUCUCUUGAUGGUCUACUUCUUAUGUUAUUGCCCUAUUCUUUUUGUAGCAUCAAAAUAUUUGCUUCGUUUUUUCUAAUUUCCCAUUCGAUUGGUAGUUUUUCCUUCUAUUUCAUUUAUUUAAGGAAUGGAAUGGUAGGCUGUGAAGUAUGCACAAUAAAAUAUUAAUUUGAAUUGCUUUCUUCUUCUUUUUUUCUUUUUUUUUUUUAAUGUUUGAUUUGAGAGAUUGACGAUAUGGAACGUUCCAUGGACAAUCCGAGUCGAUCCGGUAAACUGCUAGGAAGGUUUAUCCUAUCUUUAUAUAAUAGUAAAUAUAGUAAUUGGCUGGGCUACUUUCCCCAGGAAGGGAAGCAGAAUGGGAUUCAUGCAUCGAACAGGUGAAUCAUAAAUUUUAUUAUUUAUAAAUUUUUUACUUUAGCAGUAACUACCCGCCGCAUCGCGCGGGUACCUACACUAGUGUGAUUUAUAGUGUAUCAAGUUAGUACUAUGAGAUUUCAUUUUUUUUUCUUUUUAUUAUUCAUUUCACUAAUUUUUUUCGUUAAAUCAGUGACAAAGUUACAAUUAAAGGGUUCUGAAGUGAAUAUUCGAUAAACCUAGAUAGGGUAUCUAAAGUUUUUUUUAUAUAAUUUAAUGAAAUAUUAAUGGAGGAAAAAAAUCAGUGACAAACUUGAAACUAAAGGGUACUAAAAUAAAUAUUCGAUAAAUCUAUAUAGAGUAUCUGAAGUUUUUUGUAUAUAAUUUAACGAAAUAUUAACAGAGAAGCUGACGAAAAGAAAAAAAAAAUCAUAAGAUAGAAAAUUGAUGCAAUUAACUCUAGUCCCAAACUAAGACUAAAUUCGAUAAUAAAACGAUACAUUUAAUAAACAACAGGACGGUAAAUUUUAAAAUUUGAUAUUGGAUAGCAGUAUUUCCAUAUAAGCUAGAAACAUGAUCGGAUUCAAAUUCAAACUCUCUUAUUUUAACAUCAUGCUAAAUAAUGUGAGACAUACAAUAUUCUCCGAAUUUAUCAAAGAACGAUAUUUUUAUAUUUUACAUUCAACACUAUAUAUUAAAAAUUCUAAACCUAAUUGUGAUACACGAUGCUUAAAAUGUCUAAACAUUAAAUCAUACAAUAUUUUUCAUGAACAUUACAAAUGCCAGCUAUUAAUUUUUUGGUAAAAUCAUACAGAAUAUAUUUGAACUAUAAAUUAUUUUGAUUUAGUUAUUUGACCUUUCAAAAUUUUGAUUUUACUAUCCAAUCUUCAAUUAAUUUGAUUUGAGUCAGUUAAUAAUAUUUUAACUUUAAUAUUUAAAUGCACUAUUUUUCUUUAGAAAUUUAGUUAGUAAAUUUUAUGCAAUUCUCGCGAUAUCAUUAAUCGAUUCAAAUUAAAAAGAAUUAAAGUAUUGAGUAGUAAAAUUAAAAUUUUGAAAGUUUUAAUAGUGAGUUUAAAUUGAUCUAAAUCAGAACUUCUGGUUUGAAUUUGUCGAUACAGUGAGUCUAUGGACCGGGGCCGUACAAUAAAUAGGGCUCCCCAGCUGUAGACCCGGAUACGGGAGAUUGUAAUUGGCCGGUCCACUAGACCGGGUUCACCGAGCCGAUCAGUUCCAACGGUCGUGAUGUCACGCGCUAUGCUUGUUGUGGUGGCUCCAAGUGGCACGCGUUAGAACGUGUAGCUGCAGACCCCACUUUUUUGACAUCACGUAAUGGCUAAAAAUGACAUAGUCAUAUGCUCUCGUUGGAGCCACUGUAUUCCAUUAUAUUUUUUUACGAUGAUAUUACGUAAUAUUUAAAAUCUAAAAUUUAGAAAGGAUACAAUGAAUAAUUCAUCGUGUUCAAAUACGAUGAAUGAUUAAUCGUGUUAAGCUUAACCUUUACUAUCAUCGACAUUCGCAUGGCGCUCGCAUGACACUCGCAUGGUACGGAUUGAACCAAAUCUUAUAAAUAUAAAUUUUAUAGGGCUAUUUUUAGAAAAAAAAAAUUCUGAGCUAAAUGCAAAAAAAUUCCUACUUAAUAUUAUAUUAGUUUAAAUAAGAUAAAUUUUUUAUAGUUGUAUUAAAAAAUAGAAAAGUAUAUUUAUAAAUAUUUAUUUCUGUAAAAAAAAUUUUGAUUUAUUACCGUUAGAUUACUAUUUAUUUUUUAACAGAAGAUAAAUAAAAUGACAUUUUUUUGUCAUGACAAAUAUGUCAUUUCAAAAGCCCCAAGUAUUAAAAUUAUACAGAAAUAUUCUCUCAAAAAUAUUUUUCAACGGUUAUCAUCUUCUUUUCUACCAUCAUAAAUAAUAUAAAAGGAGUAAAAUGAUUAAUUACCUCAUUCACUAAUUAAAGUUAAGUAUUUUAUUUAUGAUUAACUAAAUUUUAACGGAUUUUGAUAGUGGGAGUAUAUUUGAAAAUAUUAGGCUUUUUGUAAGAAUAAAUAUAUUUACAGGAAACGGUAAGCAAUUAACCCUAAACUAAAUAUUGAUUAGCCCAUAGUAAUCGACUAGUGAUUAUUCUAUAUAUAUCUUUACUUGAAUCAUAGGCUUGGUUCUUCCUUUUUUUUUUUUUUUUUUUUGGCCUUUCGAUAUUUUUAAGAAAUUUAUUAUUUAUCAUCUGACCUGAAUGCACUAACUAUAACUCCAAUUAUAUAAUAAAAUAAAACUAAUCUUAAAUUUAUUAAUUUUUGGAUAGUCCAAAUCCUAACUAACAUUAAUUAAUUAAAAAAUAAUAACAAAAUAAAAUUGAGACAUGGAGCUACUGGAGCAUUUUGUGCUUGGUAAGAGAGCUUUGCCAAAGAGAUGCCUCUCCAUAUUUUAUAUAUUAAUUAUUCUACACAAAAAUUUACCAAAAUGAGAAUAUAAAUUUGAUCAUUCAUUUAAUUUUAAAGUUACUUGAUUAAAGUUGAAUUUGAUGGUCUCGCAUUCAGGAACGUUCCUAAUAAUUUUUAUUUGUAUCGAUUAGGCUGCAGAGGUGUUGUUAAACUAUUUAAUCGAUGAUUAAAUUAAUUAAUGAAAACUUCUAAGAGAUGAGAAAAUGAAAGUUUCUUUUAUAAGAUGCAUCUUGUGGAGGCGCAUCUUUAUGUAUUGUUAAAUAUAUUAAACAAUAUUUCGAGAUUUGAAUUAAGCACCAUGUACAUGUUUUAGCAUGGGACUAUUUGUACAACUGUAUUAUACUUAUAAUUAUAUAUGCAAAUUUCAAAUUAGUGUUUGUUUUAAUAUAUUUGAAUCCAACUGUUGUAAUUAUAACUAUACAAGGGAGCUCAACUAUAACAGUUGGAACUAUGUCCAAAUUAGUCGUAGUUUUUACUACAACAUUUGAGAAAGUAAUUUUAAACAAAAAAAUAAAUUUACCUUCCUAAUCAUUUGCUAAGGAAACUAAUUUUACAUCGAAAUCAAGUCCAGUCCUUUCUUUUUAUUGAGGGAAAAUACGUCCAAAGACGAUUUUAUUUAAUUAAUCAGUGAAUACAGACUGAAAAAAUUCAUCAGUAGAAAAUCAGAAAGAAAGCUUUUUGCGUACGAGUCCCCAAGUCCAGUCCCUUUUUAUUGUAGGAAAUUUUAUAUUUGGUUAAUUAUUACACUACGCUUGUUGUUAACUUCUUUACUAAUAAACCAAAAGUAAAAUUUAAUUUUGUAAAUAACCAUUUUCUUUCUCAGAGUAGCAAAGUAGAAAAAUAGAAAAAAAAAAAAAAAUUGGACAACACCGUUAUUUUGACACGACCCAUCAACAUUCUUUUUAGAUAUUUCCUAACUUGUAAUAUUUCAUUUUUUUAGUCAAAAAAAUUUAAUACUAUUCAUCAAAUAAAAUCAUUAUAUUUAAUANUUAAGGUCAAAAGCUUGAAAAAUCCAGCCUCUUGUAAGAUGUUGGGAGGUGGUUCACACCUUUUCGAGCUUUAUGUAGGUUUGUGAGCUUGGAGCGUUAAACGUUUCCAGGUCACACAAUGUCUAUCAUAUCAUCGGCCUAUAUAUAUAUAUAUAUAUAAGCUCGAAAAGCUCGGAUUAAGCUUGCUCGGCUCAUUAUGAGUUCGAGCCGAACUUUACUUAAAGCUCAAAAAAAAAAAACAAGUUCGAGCCGAGUAAAUUAAAGUUCAGCCCGAGCUCGCUCGGUUUAUAGUUCAGCUUGCGCUCAGCUUGUGCUCGGCCGAGCGAGUAAACGGUCGGGAUCAAAACUAUAACGGAUUUUGAAAAUGUUCAAAGAUUUUCACGCCACAUACCUUGUAUCAUUAUCUGGCCCACGUCGCUAUUUGAGCUCAGUAGGCCCCAAUAAUCAACAUUGAGUAAGCGCAACAGACACCUCCUUAGGCGCCGUCCCUUUGCGCCUCCUCUUUUGGCCCCUAGCGAAAAAAAAAAAAAAACAAAAAAACAGAGAAACCAUUUUUAUUGGGAGUUAAUAUAUCUAGUGUACUUUUUUUUUCGAAAAUUGAUAAAAAAUUGAUUUUUGUCGAGUUCAAGGUAAAAAAAUAUGUAUUAAAAAUAUAAAUUAAUUUAAUAUUUAAGAUAAUUUAUAUUACUAAAAUAAACUACUUAUCAUAAUUUAAAAAAACUGAUUUUUUUACUUUAUAAUGUUCAAUCCUUUAUAGAUUUUUCUUACAACUACCCAGCACAGUUUUAUUGCCACAACAGGUUAAAAAAAAAAAAAAAGAUAAAAAGAUGAAACGAUGAGACUCUUUCUUUUACCAAUAAAUGUUUUAAUUUAAAAUGAAAACCAAAUAAUCAUUUCUUCAAUUGUUGUUCGCAUCACAUUAUUAAUUGGUUUAUAUUUUAAAGGAUGUUAUUUUUCCCUGACCUGAACCCCUGAGCAUGCGUUUUUCGAAAGAAAGACUAAAAGAUGACUACUUAAAAAAGUCAGACAUAAGUGACUAAUUAAUUUAUUUUAGCAGAAACCUGCAUAAAAGGGAGUUAUUUUUCUUUCCUGACCUGAACUAAAGCUACAUUUUAAUCAAAGGAAUCGUUUACUAAUCCUUCCAUUUAAAUAAAAAAACAAAUUUUAAUGAAAGAGUUUACAACAUCAUUUUUGAUGCUGAUUAAACCUGUAUCAAGGUUGACAAUAUCAACUCGAGGGAACAUAUCAAUAUUAAUGUUGUCAACCUAAGUUUAUAUAAUUUUGUUUGUGAUUAAACUUUAAACGUAUAUAUUAAUAUUCAUAUUAUGUCAACAUGUUUAUCAGGGUACGAUUUUGUACAUGUACCACGAAUUAAGUUUAGAGCUUUAUAACAAAUUAUAUAAAUUGUUAUGUAUUUCUACGCGGAGGUGUUCUACGUAGAAUAUUUUCUUUGAAAGUAAAAGAGUAGAGAAUCUUCAAAAGUAAUUAAUUAAAUUAGUAGCUAAUUUAUCAAAUUGUUGUGGAGACGUCGGAUUAGCUAUGUUUAUUUUUAAUAAUCCUUGCAAGGACUUACGCUCUGGUAGUUUAAGUUGAAAUUAGUUCAUUGAAAUUUUAAUUUACUUACUAGUUUAAAUAUAAGAGUAAAACCAUUUAAAAACACAUCUUAUUAAUUAUAUAUUUUAUACCUCUCCGUAGAGAAACCGUUUCGAGAGAAUGGUUCGUGUUUUACGAGGUCAUCGAGGUACAGAGUUAAAAUAAAACAAUAAUAAAAAAUUAAUUAAUUACAAUCAAUCCUAAACCUGAUAGGUUUUUAAUUAUUUAAAUUCUAAUCAAAAUAAAAUAAUAUAUUAACCUCAAUAUUGGACAAGUCCUGAAAGUUUUUACUCUCGGGGACCGGUCCCUGGAAGGAGAGACCGGUUCCCCCAGUGAGCAGUGUUGAGGCAGCCUGAGGCAACCGGUCCCUGGCAGGCGAGACCGGUUCCCGAGCGCGUUCUCGCAGUGAGAGACCGGUCCCGCGCAGGGAGAGACCGGUUCCCGAACGCUGGGUUUUCGGGUUCGCAGCGAGAGACCGGUCCCUGCUGGGGAGAGACCGGUCCCUCUGGGUGAAAACUGCCCAGUCCGGGCUGAUGUAAUUUUGGGUUUUUGAGGGGCCUAACUGGAUUUUGUUACCUUAGAGGCUAUAGGCAGCCUCUCCUCCUCUCUCAUUCUCAUUUUCUCUCAACCCUUUGCAUUCUAGAGAGAGAAGAAGAGAGGGAGAAGGAGAAGAAGAAGAGAAGAGCUUGCUUGGAGGCCUUGGAGCACCAUCUUCUUCCUCAUUUCUCACCUUGGAGGCUUGGAGCUUGCUUUUGGAGCUUUGUGGUGGAUCACUCCUCAACCCUAGAAGAUUUUGAGCUUGGAUUGGAGCAUCCUAAAGGUAUGUGGCAAGGUUCCUCCCUCUAGAUCUUAGUUUUGAAGCUUUUUGCUUGUUUAAACCCUAGAAAUGAGAUUUAGGGUUUGAUUUUGGGCAUUUUUGAUCUAGGGCUUUUCGACCUAAAUUGAUUGGUUUAGAACCUUCCUGGGGCUUGGAUUGGAAGGGUUCUAGCUCUCUUUUGGAGCUUAGGAGAAGAUUUCUCCUCUUGAGGUGAGUUUGCCCCUUUUUGCUCCUAGGUUAAUGUUUGUUGUUAUAGGAUGAUUGUAAUGCCCUCGUAUCUCUUCGCUGAUUACUUUUAGGGUAUUUUGAGACUCGGGGACAACUUGGUUCGGCGAGACGAGGCUCUACGCGACGGUUCGGUGGGUUUGACCUAGCCACACAAUGAGAAAUUCUCAUUUGUACUUAAUUAAGUGUUGUUAAAUGAAAAAGCAUGCAUAUUCUUGUUAUAUGUAUUUAUUGUGAAUUUUAGAAUGCUUAAAAGGCCUAUGUUAUAUAUGAUGAAAUUUUGGACCUCUAUGUAGUAGAGAGUAGCUUAUUAGGCCAUAGUUGCAUUUGGCAUUCUAUAUGAGACGUGGUAUCAUACUUCUAUAGUAUAAAUGAGUUCGGAUUCAUGCAUUCAAACCUAAGUUUACUUGUGACAUGAGAAUUGACAAAAUUGUCAUUUAGAAGCUAUAUGAAUUAAAGAGCUAAUGUCAUCCAGCGGCAUUGAGCUCGGGACAUGUGCGAACCUAGUGGAUAGGGCCAUCGAGGGACUUGGGAUACAUAUUGGACACCAAAUUGCCUAAGUGUCAUCAAGGGGCACUAGGCGUAGCAAAAGUUGAGAAUUCACAUUUUGCCUUAAACUAGAUCUACGGGAUGCUAGCGACUAUAUCAUGUUAGAGACAUGAGGAUUGGAUAUUUGAGACUUGGACUUUGCUUGCUUGCCAUUUGUGCUCAUUCGCACAUGCUUGUGAGGGUCGCUCCCUACAAGCCGGCACUCCGGAGUUAGCCUACGCGACUUUUGUUCGCUCGUGCGGUAUUGAGAAGCCUACGGGGUCGAGUGGGACAGACACAUUCCAAGAGUAGGGAUGUUGGGCUACCACAGGCACUUAGGCGGCACAAGCUGGACCACCUUUGGUAGGUCCUUAAUUGGAAAUGGAAAUCGAUACGGUGUUGAGAAUGGAUAAUCACUACUAGAUAGGUUUAGUAGUUGAGUUACAUUUAUACGCUUUUAGCAUAGUGUUGAGACAUGUAGUAUACUUGAUAGUCUCCUUUUUGCAUUAAAGCAUGUUUGGAUGUCAUGACAGAACUUGCAUACUGUUUUCAUAAAGAUUAAUGACAUACUAUGUUGAUAUCGUAGAUGUACGUCACCAUGACAUCGUGAAUGCUUGAGUUUAGUAAGUUAGCAUUUUAAUUAUACCUUUAUAUUGCUAUCAUUUUUGUACUUACCCUUUUCUUUUGGGGCCUAGUGGUGCGAUGAGCUGAGGUCAGUAAUUGCCCACCGGGAACUAUAAAUUAUAGUUCUCACGCCCUCUUUUUCUCGAUAUUUUUCAGAGCCUUCCACGCAGGGAGAGGCCAGGGAUCGCGGAAAGGGUAUCGCCUCGGGCUAGCGUGCUUACCGAGGGAUCGUUCGAUAGGUGGUCUACCUCUCGUGUUAUCUUUUUGGGAGAGGUUGAGAGUUGUACCCGUAUAUAUAUAGAGACCACCAUUUUUGUACUAGAGACAGAUAUUGUACUACUUAUGAUUACCUUUAUGUAUUAGUUAUGCUCUAUUACUAUUAGUAUAGAUAUUAGAACUACAUUCGCUCUGAUAUCAUUAGUUGCUAGUUAUUUCACUUCUUUAUCUGCUCUAUCUCUUGCUUACUUUCGCAUUUGUUGUAGACGCCUUAUAUGUGUUGACAUAUGGCGGGUCUGAGCACGCUACCGGGAGGGCCUCCGCCGGUCCCGGGGCAUGACACUAUCGAUAGUACCAAGCCCUUGGUACUAUUGAGUUUUCUACCGUUAGAUCUACCAUUUGAUCAUUUCCACCCGUUAGAUUAUACUAUUAAAACCAACCACCCACUCAACCCUAGGGGACCACUAUCAACUUUACCGGGGACCACUAUCAUCCUAACCGCAUAUCUUUUCAUCCAACAGUCGAAAACUCAAUAGUACCAAGGGCUUGGUACUAUUGAUAGUACAGUAGCAUAUUUUUAUAUAUAUAUAUAUAUAUAUUUAAAACUAUCUUUUAAGAAAUAUGGUAUAUUUUGUUCUAGUUAUUGAAACUAGAUUUUAAAAUUACAGUAUAGUAGUAUAAAACACUCUAAAAAUAAAAGUCGGCAACUAAAACUCGGUGAAGCUAGUGAGCCGUUUACUAUAGCUUUUUAGCGUUUUAAAUAAAAGAUCUAUGAAGUUUAUGAGAUCUAGUUCCGAUUGCCUCGUCUAGCAGCUAAACUUUCAGGGUUGUAGCUUUUGUUUCACCUUCGUGCCUCGCGAGGCACGAAGGCUUUCGUGGGGUCUGCGUGAGNUAUUUUUGACUGUAUAAAUGAAAAUGAAUAAUAUAGAGAUUGAAGGCGAAAGAAAAGACAUGUAAGGCUGAAAAGAUUAGAUAUUCAACUCAUAAAUUAUUUUUUUUCAUAUUAUAAUACUAUAUUUUAUAUAAUUAUUUUGUACUUUGAACUAUUAGACAUAUUUUUAUAUUAAAUUAUAAAUAAUGUUCUAUACAAAUUAAACUACUGAUCGUAUGAUGUUGAGAAUUUUAAGCGGCUCGUUUAGAGCUCGAACUCGCUCGACUCGAAAUUAGGCUCGCUCGAGCUCGGCUCGAAUUAAUUUCAAUCCAAGCUUGAGUUUAAAUUUAGGCUCGAAAUUAAUUUCAAGCCGAAUUUGAGCCGAGGUAAGCUCGCUCGAGCUCGGCUCAUUUCCACCCCUAAUCAAAACCGAAUUUAUUGGACACAUUCUAUGAUAUUUAAUAUGGGCAGUCGCUUAUGUAUUAUAUGUAUGAAAAGUUUCAAACUAUUUUAUUUGCACAGCUUAAAAGACUAAUAAAAAAAUAUCAUUUUAAUUUUUUAAUAUUUUUAUAUAUAAUUCUUUAAAAGUUAAAUUUUAUUAACGAACAACUAAUAUUACUAGUAUUUUAUCUUUUAAAAUAUAUUAUUUUAUAGUCGCCAACUUUUUUCUAUAUAUUUUUAAGUUAGAGACAAAAAAAAAGUACUUUUAUCUUUUAAACUUUCAAAUAUACCUCGUGUAUUGUCACCAAUUUUUUUUAUUUGUUUCUUAAGUAAGGGAUAACAGAAACAUUUAGAAUAUUUUUAACUCUAGUAAAACUUUAAUCUAAAUUUAGUCUAAAAUAACUUAACAGAUAAUAAAUAUGGAUACUUAACCGUAAUAAAUUAGUUAAUAAUAAUAAUAUAAUUUCUGUCGUCUCACCAAAUAGCAAAAUUAUAAUUGUAUAGUGUAUGAGGUAGGGCUAGCAAAUGAGCGAGCCGGCUCGCGUUCGAGUCGCGUUCGACUCGAUAUUUAGCUCGCUCGAGCUCGACUCGAAAUUAAAUGAGCCGAGCUUGAACAAAAAAAAGGGCUCGAAAUUUAUUUCAAGCCGAGUUUGAGUAUUACUCGGCUCGUUCGAAUUAGGCUCGAAAAGUUCGAAAAGCUCGAAUAUAUAUAUAUAUAUAUAUAUGCCUAUGCUAUCGAAAGUAUUGAGAUCUGGUGCCUUCGAUUUUUGAUUCUUAGAUCAAUCCCUUUAAUCGUUUUUUAUCUUUGGAUUAAUAUUAUUAUUAUCUUGUAGGAACCACUCAAUCCUAAGAGUAUUAUUUAAUCCUAGGGGAGGCCGUAAUCAUCCCAACCAUACAAUUUUUAGUCAAAGGGUCAAAAAUUCAAAAACAUCAAAUCCUCUAUAUGUUCGAUAGCAUAGUAGUUCUACACUAUAUAUAUAUAUAUANNNNNNNNNNNNNNNNNNNNNNNNNNNNNNNNNNNNNNNNNNNNNNNNNNNNNNNNNNNAAAAAAAAAAAAAAAAAAAAAAAUGCCAAAGCGAAAAAUGGCAGCAAUAUUUGGUUUUAUAUGGGGUAGAAAAAAUCACAAAACCUCUUAGCAAGUAAACUGUCUCUGACUGAUAGAUAUCUUUGGAAAUAAUCUGCUGUCGAUUUGUGAGUAGCCUUCUUUAUGCCUCCUCUAUAAGCUCUGAUAACAAAUUCUUCGCUUCUUUCUCUGUGAUACCAUUUUGUCAAAUAUUUUAGUUGGACAUAAUCAAGAGUACAAACUAGAUUGAAUAUAAAUUAUAUAAUAUAACAUAUAUAUAUACACACACACACAUAUAUAUCAAAUGUAGCAUACUUUCCAUCAGAAGAGGACAGCCAUUUUAUGUAAGCAGCACCGAAGUACACAUUCACAAAAGGCUUGUACAGCAACAUUGGAUCGCCCUCUACUUCGUAAUUUCUGUACCCCAUUUCCCUACGAAAUCAACCAUAAUCAAUCAAAAAAGUUUCAUAAUUUCCAUGUCUUGGAAUAAGGAGAAUUGGGACUUGUUUGGUCCAGCGGGACCUUUUGCAGAAGCUUUGUUCAAUGAUCAAAGAAGCACUUAAAGGUUUUUCCAUUGCGAACAUCUUCCUCUUGCAGCACUAGCCAAAGCUUCAAAUCGGAACUUUUGCUUUUGGGCCUAAAAGCUCAUCGUAUCUUCCAGCGACAGCAAAAGCUCAAAAUCUUUCGCUUUCUCUAUAGCAAUGCAGCUAUUCUAGAAGCCAGACCAAACAAGCACUUGGGGCCCAUUUGGGGCACUACAGGGUGCAAUGUAACUGGAUAAAGUGUUUUGAGAGUAUCUUGUUAAAAGUAGAGGCAAUAAGGAUAUAACUAUUUAAUUGGAAUCCUCCUGACAAGAAAGUCUUCUCUGCAGAGGGAUUUCUUGUAGGAUUCGUACAAAGCCAAUCUAAGGACAUCAUAUCAGCAUCUGAAAGUAAAUCAAAGCAGUAUAACAAUUUCAAGUUGAAAAGAUAGCAGCAGUAUUUAGUUGAUAUUUGGUUGGACAGGAUUCUCAUAUGGAAUCCCUAUUACAGGGCAGACUUCCUCCCUCUCGACAAUUCUCUGCAGCAGAAACAGAAGCUCUCUGGUGCUUUUAGGCCUUAAAAUCCCGUUUCUACUUCCCUCCACAGUGAAAGCUCAAGGUUUUUCUAUUUCCAAAGCACUCUAGUGCCUCAGAAGGGGUGCUUGUAGCUAAAAGAAAAAACAGAAGCCAGGCCAAACAGACAGUUAUCUAGUACGCUUGUGGCACUUAAGUACCUAGCAAGCCAUUCUGCGACUUCGGGGGCAAUCUGCAUGAGACCAGCCGUUCUCUCCUUUUUCUUCUUAUCAUAAUUCUCAAUUAAAAGUAUUCUGUUGCUUGCAAUUUCAGCAANGGUGCGUGGGCGAGCGCCGGACGCGUCAGAUCCACCGUGCCUUGCGGAACGGCAAGUAUAAGGUACCAAACUUCCAAAAUUAUGAAGUUACGGUGUAUAUUUAAAUGGUUCCGGUGAGCUUGCGGUGUAAUGUAAUAUACCGGAUUUAAAUAUAAAAAUAAAAAUAAAUAAAAAUAGUAUGAGAUACUAUUUUUAUUGGAUUUAGAGAAGUGAAAUAUAGGUUGGGAAUGACCUGUGCUGAAAUCGGAGCGAAAACAGAAGAUUUAGAAUUUUCUGUGGGAAACAGGACAGAUAAAUUAGUAGAAAAUGUAUAGUCUCAGAAAAUUAUGAAAAUUAGAGGAUAAGUCAGAAAUAUUUUUAUGAGGCUAGAUUUAAGGUUUCAUAUUUUUCUGACACACGUAGAGUGAGAAAUAAAAUCCGAAAGCAAUCUGAUAAAGAUUACAGUUCGGCACAGUUUUCGGUGACCAAACGGAGUCGAAACUGAAAAAUUAAGAUAUAUUCUUGUUCAGUACGUUAAACCGAAUAUGACUGUCAAAUUUGAGCUCAAACGGAUAUUCAGAGGGCUCCGACAAAAGAUAUCAGAUUUCGAGCUGCCUGAAUGUGAAUAGUGUUCUUGGAUAAAACUUGGAGGUCAAGUUUCCUAUAUGCAUAUAUAUGUAUGAAGGAUUGAGCCUUUUCUCUCUUUCCCUCACACUUACAACCAAAGAGAAAGAUCUCUCUCUCUCUCUAGCAACUUCUCUACCAAAGAGAAUUGGAGGUGGAUUUGGAGAAGAAAAAGCUUGCUUAGAGGUGAAGCCUUCUUUUUCUUCACCAUUGGCUUGAAGAAAGCUUGGGUUUGAGAGGUAAGCUUUGAUAACAACAAUGGUAGCUUGCUAAGUAGUGAUUUGUAUGCCUUAUAAAUGGGUUUAGUGAAACUCCUAGAUGCUAAAUAGAUGGUUGAUGCUCGAAUUUAGAGAUCAAAUGAUGAAUUCUUGCAUAGUUGCAUCUUAGGGCAUCAAAAGAGGGGUUUUGCUUAUGAGGGGUUUUGAUCUAAAUUGAUCAUGUAUAAACCUAAUUGAUAGGUCACUGAACGCGUUGGAAGCGACGGUUCGGCGAUUCGACGAGCCGGUGAGAAGUUAUUAAAGAAACGGACGUUUAGGCUUCGUUUCCGCCUGGAGGGCCGAGGCGACGUCGUAAAAUCCUGAAAACGGAUUUAAAGCAUUGUAACAAGAAACCGAAAACCUUUAAUUUUCGGAUCGUGGAUCGGAGGUCGUUUGGUGGUCGCGUGCGAAUUGGGUCAAGCCGAGCGGUGUGCGCCGCGGGAGGCCGAUUGCGAGUGACGACGAGCAAUCGGAACGCGAUAAAAGGUGGGGGGUGUCAUCCCGAAGCAAUCGGGCUUCUCCCUAUGUCUAAGUAUCUCUAUGUUGAUCAAUUAUGCAUAUCGAGCUUUGCAUUAUAAGGUGCUAGAUGAUAAAUGUAUAUACAUAGAUAUAUAUAUUCUUGCAUACUAGUAGAGUAAUGUAAAGUUGAAUUGCUUAAAUACUUGUACCUAGUAUGCAUGUGAUUGGGACAUAGUGUUGUGAAACCCUACAAUGACAAGAUUAAUGUGGAUAGACUCUAGUUGAAUGAACACCUAGUGUUGUAUUUAAAGACAUAGUUUACAAGUGGCAUUGGACUCAUUGUGCUAAAAACACAUAUGACUUGAACUAGUAAUGGAUUGGUUAUUGUACUAGAAACUCUAGUUAACAUUGAUCAAGUUGCAUAUUGGGAUAUUGCAUUAUAGGGUACUAGUUGGCAAUUGUUACAUGUCAUGGCAUGCUAGUGGGAGUGUAGUGUUACUUGAUUAAUACUUAUACCUAGUAUGCAUGAGAUUGGGACUUAGUGUGGUGAAACCCUAUAAGGGCAUGAUUAAUGUGGAUUAAACUGUAGUUGAGUACAUUAAUCGAUCAAGUUGCAUAUUGUAUUUAUUGCAUAUAGGUGCUAGAUGAUUAUGGUUAUUGCUUAUAUAUGCAUGCUAGUAGCUAUACAUCUUGAUGAUUGAUCCAUGAUCUAGUAUGCAUGAUGAUUAUAUGAUGAAAACUCUAUAAUAAAGACCUAGACCCUAUAUGAGAUGAUUAAUGCUUAUGUUGCUAAAGAACUAGUAUGAUGUAACUAGUGUUGAUAAUGAGUCAAAAUUGACAAGUGGCAUCUAGUUAUAGAAAACUACGAUGAGUGGCAUGUGAUUGUUGAUGACCUUGAUGUGAGAACAUUAGUGUAGUUGAGACACUAUGAGAUUGGGUACAAGAACACCUUGAUUCCAUGAUGAGAUUACCCUUAGAGGGUAGGUUGCUGCUGUUCGUGAGUUGAUCGUGCUCACAUUGCCUAUCUGCGCUUGGUGGGGUCGCUCCCCUCAAGUUGUGCGCUCCGGAGUUGGUCACUAGAGAGGCAGCCCUGCUUGCUGCUCGGAUAGCCGCUUGUUAUCCGCAGGCGUACUCGGGGAUAGUUCAGCUAGGCAUCCCUCGGAGGUUGACAUGUGAGCCUUGCUUGUGAACCUUGUGUUCACCAUGAGAUUUGGUUACCUAUUGAGUCAUACUCAUUAUUGUUGUUCAUGAUAGCUUGCUUCCAUAGUUGUUGUUGUGGUUCAUAGUUGCCUUUGGCUUGCCGGCUGAUUGGGUGAUCUAAUGAAUAGCCUUAUUGAUGAACCUAGUGGUAUGGUAGUUAGCCUUCACUAAGACUUAUAUUGAUAGCGAGCAUAGUCGCUUGGUAGUUGGAUUGGUGGAUUUGCCUACAUACAGUGAGUGGACAUACUAUUCCUUCACCUAUGAGAUUUGAGGGGAGUAGCCUUAUACCUAGUAGGUCGAGAUGUGAGUCGGGCAAAGUGCGGGGUAGCCUUUGCCUAGGACCUUGAGAUGUGGGUCGGGCAAAGUGCGGGGUAGCCUUUGCCUAGGACCUUCGAGAUUGGGUCGGACCUUCGAGAUCUAAGUCGGGCGAGGAGCGGGGUAGCUCUUUGCUCAGGACCCUUAAGACAUGAAUCGAAUGAGACAAGAAUGAGGUAGCUUUUCACCUACUAGAUUUGAGAUCUUAGGCAAAGUAGCCUAGUGGAUUGGGCAAUAAUGUGAAUAGCAUAAGUGGAUUGCAUUCAUACCAUGAUUAUACAUAGUGCAUUGCAUAACUAUGUUAUAGUUGUAUUCAUUUCAUUGUUGAGGCAUAUUAGCAUGAUAGUAGAUUGUUGCUAGAUGAUGUUCCAUGCAUACUUUUCAUUUGAUGGCAUAGUAGAUAUAGUAGUAGUAUUUCCAUAUAUCUCUCUUCUAUCUAUCUGUGCCAGCUUGGACCUAGUGGGAAGAUCGGCGGAGUCGGCGGCGGAACCCACUGGGAACUAUAUUUAUAUAGUUCUCACCCCGUGUGGUUUUGAGGUACAGGUACACACGAGAGCGGACCGGCAGGUGAUCGCGGUAAGGGCGUAGCACCCUAGCUAGCUAGUAGAGCUUUCCUAUUGUACUAGAGCACCCUCGUGUGCAUGGUUAUAGAUGACAUGAUGUAUUUUGGAUAGCUAGCAUUAUAUAUAUAUGAGAUGAUUAUGUAUUCAUUUUGGAAGCAUAAAUGUAAUCAAAGAUGUAAAAGUGGAAUGUGAUGUAAUAGCUAGAAGUAUCUCUCUUUUGUUUCACUUGUAUGUCUUCUACUUGUGAUGCUUGCUCUUGUAAUGUUCAGCACUGUUCGUGCUCUCGCUGUUGUUGCAUGAUCAUGUAUGUAUUCAAGUUGAUUUCCUGGAGACUUGUUGUACAUGAUCUGGUUGGUUAGCCUUGGGCGGACAGGGGAGACUCUGUCCGUCUGGCGGUCCGCUUGCCGCGCCCGAACCGUGCCAAAUCGGUAGCGGCCUCGGGACGGGGGCGUGACAACAAGCUGACUGUAAUGACCCUGAAGAAUAAAUGGUAAAAGUAGUAGUAGUAGUAGCAGCAGUUAGCAUGGGAGAGUAGUAAAAAUGUCAACUUUACAAAGUAGAGCAGAGAAGUGACAGCAGGAGGUUGGUGAGGAGCGAGCUCGACGGAGCGAUCCGGCGAGAAGGCACUUGGGCGGAACUCCAGCGGCAAGGCGCCUUCCGAAGGCCUUAGCAUGCUUCGACAGUUCAUGGCAAUAUGUCGGUGAUGAAGGAAAAUGGAGGAUCGAGGUCGAGGAGAAGCCGAUAGACCGGCGGUGUUGUGGGGAAGAGAGAGCUAGCGGAUCGGGCGGUCCGAUCACCGGAAGCGGGUGUAAAAUGGCGGACCCGAUCAUCCGCGGUCGUGCGCAUGAUGCGAGAAGGCCGGAGCGACGCCUCACUUAUACCGUUAAUGCAUCGAGCGGCGGCAAAACCGGGCGAUCGUAUCAGGGGCGAAAUAGCGAACCCAAAGACCUCCUGGCUUGCGGUAGUGCGGUCGAUAGGACGGACCCGAUUCCGAAUCCCGACAAGCAAGCAAGGAGCUCAGGAAGCCCAGGAAGACGCGCAACUCACCCGAAUUGGCAGGGCCCAACCAGGCCACUUCUUAUUUUGUCACUUUUGCUGUUCAGUCCUCAAGAUUAAAUAAUUCUCUUUUCUUUCGCAACUAAACUAUUAUAUACUACGAGAUGUAAUGUAACGCUAGGGCUUAGAGAAUGGAAAUGAAUUAGCUUCGUCUUCUCCCUAAUUAUCCUCUUCUUCUCCACUUCCUUUCUCUUCUCCUCCCCAAAACCCUAACUCUAAAUUCUCUAUAAACCCUAUUUUGUUCGCUCCCAAUCUCUCUUCCUACUCUCCUUUGUUUCUCUCCUUCUUCCUUUUCACAACUCACACUCCAAAUCGCCUCAAAUGCAUCCGUACAAUAACAAUUGGUAUGUUGAUAGCAUAAAAAGAAAAAGGAGAAAAAAAAGGAGAAGAAACGAACUUGAAUAAUGGUGUAUGAGAUGAUCCAUGCACUAGGUGCAUGGAGAAAUUUGAGUUCAAAUUUUGAACCUGGUGCAUAGGUUAAUCCAUGCACCAGGUGCAUAGAUUACAAAAAAAAAAGUGGGAUGUUCUCGUAGGCAUGAAUGGGUAUUACAAAUAACAGAUUAGUCCUUUCCCUUUCAUGUAUUUGCAAGAUGCUCCUUCAAACAUAUAAUAUUCUGUUAUUUUAACUAAGUUAUAAUAUAAACAAAUGGGAAGGACUAAUGUGCAAUUUUAUAUCAUGAUCCCACGAUCCUAUCUUUUAACUUCCCACCUCUCCCAUACGCACGCACCAUACGCACAUUCUCCGGACAGUUACGACUAAUCCCAUAAAUACCUCUCGAAACAAAAAAGAGAAAGACAGUUGUUUUUUAAACUUUCAAACCUAUUCCUAAACAAAAAAAAAAACCCAUACUAUUCCUGUCUACGAAAGAGAAAAGAAAGGUAAAAAAAAAAGAUAUUUUUCUCUUCUCCAUCAAUGCCAUAAUCAAAGCUCUCUCUCUCUCUAAAAAAAAAAAAAAAAGAAAAAAAAAGAAAAGAAAAAGAGAAGAAAAAAAAGAUCUCAGAUCUCUCUCUCUCUCUCUCUCUCUCUCUCUCUGUGUGUGAAAUUAGCACCCACCACAGCCCGACACCAACCUCGUUCUCCUCCGCCAUGGAUGAGCUCAUCGUGGUGGAGCGGCGACCCAUGGAUCCGCGGUGGCCGUGGUCACCAUCAACCGCCCAGGCGCGCUCAACUCGCUCACGCGCCCCAUGAUGGUCGCGCUCGCAGGCGCGUUUCGCCGCCUCGACGCCGACGACACCGUGGCCGCCGUGGUCCUCGCCGGGCGCGGCCGCGCCUUCUGCUCCGGCGUCGACCUCACCGCCGCCGAGGACGUCUUCAAGGGCGACAUCAAGGACCCCGCCGCCGACCCCGUCGCCGCCAUGGUCGCGUGCCGCAAGCCCAUCGUCGGCGCCAUCGCCGGAUUCACCGUCACCGCCGGGUUCGAGAUCGCCCUCGCCUGCGACCUGCUCGUUGCGGGCCGCGACGCCGAGUUCGCCGACCCCUACGCUGCCGAGGCCGCCGCUCCUCGCCGACCUUAGCUACCCCAGCGUCGUCGAGGACGUCCUUCUCGCCGACCCCAACUACCCGAGGCCGCGUCGCUCCUCGCCGACCCCUGCGCCCUAGGCCGCAUCGCUCCUCGCCGACCGUCGCGCCGAGGCCACCCGCUCAGAGGCCACCAGCCCCGAGGCCGCGUCGCUCCUUGCCGACCCCUGCGCCCGAGGCCGCAUCGCUCCUCGCCGACCCCUGCGCCCGAGGCCGCCCGCCUCCUUGCCGACCCUUGCGCCACUGAGGCUGUCGCGCCGAGGCCACCCGCUCAGAGGCCGCUUGCUCCUCGACGACCUCCGCCCGCUCCUCGCCGACCCCUGCGCCGCCGAAGCCGCCUGCUCCUUCGCCGAGCGCCUCGUCGCCUUCGCCUGUGUCGAGGGCUUCUUCUCCGGCUCCUGCUGAGCCAUCUUCUGGCUCAAGAAGCGUGGCCUCAUGCCCGGGCUCACCUUCUCCAACAAGCUUAUCUCCCGCGACGAGGGCCUCCACUGCCGCCGCCGCCUCCGUCCAAGUGAUCUCGGUGAGAUCCGCUCGCUCCCUCCUCCGCUCCGCGGCGGCGCGCGACCUGCGCACGCUCGAGGAGAUCCUGAGCGCCGCCGACACCGAUCCCUUCAACAGCAAGCUCUUUGUCCACGGCCUUGGGUGGGAAACCACCUCCGAGGGGCUCCGCGCCAUGUUCGCCCGAUACAGCGAGAUCGAGGAUUGCCGUGUCGGCUUCGUCCAAUUCAGUCACCGGAGCUCGGCGAGCCACGCCCUCCGCGAACCCCAGAGGCUCAUCGACAACUGCAUGACCGCGUGCCAGCUCACCUCCACCAAACUCACCCCGCACUGAACCAACUCGUCACCGCUCACCAGGUGUUCGAUCUGUGGCCACAACGAGCCGCGGUGUUGAUCCAGGCUGCGGCGCUUAAGGCGGAGCACGUGCAUGCGGCAGACGCGCCGCAGAAUGUGCCGACAAUUGGUGCGCGGCGGCGGGCUGCUCGCGGACGUCAACAGCGAGCUUUCGACCGUCGGCAUGUUCGUUGACACCUGCCAGGACUCGUUCGACGAGUUCCCGGACGUCGACGGCUCGCCCCUCGCAAAUGUGCAGACCAAUCUCAGCAGGCUCGUCAGCAACAGCAUCUGCCUCGCCGCCUACAAGGCUGCCUAUGAUAUUGCUUUGACGGAGUUCACGCCAACAAAUCAUGCCCGCCAACUAUUUGAUGAAAUGCUUAAGAUGUACUUUUAACGUCGAACCCGAUCUGUAUAUAAAGAGAGAGAGCGGUGCUCUUCUCUUUAUAAAAAUGUUUUAUCAAAAAGGAGUGAGCGGUGCUCUUCCCUUUAUAAAAAUAUAGCAUCAUCGAAAGAGGGAGAGAGCGGUGCUCUUCUCUUUGCAAAAAAAAAAAAAAAAGAGAGAAAGAGGGAAAAAGAUUACUUCUCUAAUUAUGAAAGAGAGAGAGAGCUUUGUUACUGUUAGGGAGGCAAGGAAGGAAUUUUUUCCACCUUAGUUGUCCCAUGAAUGUAAAAGAAACAAAGAAGAAUUAUGCAUCUUUGUUGCCUUGUACUUUCAAAAGAGAUAAAGAGAGAAAAAUACUCUCUUAAUUAUCUUACAAUGAGGAGGCAAAAGAAAUUAAUCGGGUUAUUGAUUAAUAUUCUUUUGAUCGCCUUUUUAUUGGAAGAAUAAUGGGAUGUUCAUCGAACCCCUUAAUUCUAUCCAAAAUCGAAUCUCUCGAUUUGGCUAAAUUAGACCAAAUCGAGAUGCUCCAAAUUAAAUUAAGUUGAAUUUUCAUUAUUCAUGACUGAGAAUUUGACAAAUAAAAAAUGCAUUCGAAAUUUUUUUUUAAGUGACGAAUUUGAUUCUGAACUAUAUAUUUAAAUAUGUUGAUCUUAAACAAAUCCUAAAUAAUUUUCAUCUCAAAAUCUCAUAUGGACCAAGCCCAUACUCAUCUCAAAUCUCAUAACCCAAGCUCAACAUUACCCAAGUUCAGCCCAAACAUAAAUCUGAACCCAAUACUAUAACUUGCCUGAAGAAAAUAUGGGUUUAAACCAUACGGGCUCAUAUUGAGCCCGAGCCCACAUGUAAUUCAAGCCUCAACUUGGACCCAUAUUAUAUGGGCCUGAAUUUGACCCAUGUCUGAAUGUAAUUAUAUGAAUCUGAAUUUGGACCAUGUUUAAUCCAUGAAGCUAUACCUAGCCCAAGUCCAGAUUUCAAUUACAAUGUGAACUUAAUUCAAAAUCUUAGUUACACCGCACGGGUCUAAAUUGAGCCUGUAACACAAACUACAUGGGCCUGAAUUGAGCCCGAGCCCAUAUCCAAAAUUUAGAUAUAAUUCAGGCCUCAACUUAACUACAUGGGCCUGAAUUUAGCCCAUACCCGAAUCCAUAUGAUAUAAGCCUACAUCUAACUCACAUUGAGCCUGAACCCAAAUAUGGCUUUACGGGCCUGAACUUAGCCCAAGUCUAAAUCCAAUGGCCAAUCUACACAUCUAACCCAAACCCAACCAAAUUAUAUCUCCAAAUGGGCCUAAGUUCAUGUCCAAGGCUGAAUAUAAACCCAGCCUAAUUAUAUCUCCGAAUGAGCCCAGGUUCAUGUCAAGACUAAAUAUAAACCCAACCCAAUUAUUUAUUUUAGAUUGAUCCAAGCUGAACCCAAUCUUUAAUUCCAAUCCAAUCAAGUCAUAUAUGAAACCUAUACCAUAAUAACAAAAUCAAAGUCCAAACCUAACCUCAAUCAUGCACAACCUAAUCCAACCUCUUCUCUAUACCAAGUCUUUGGAAACAAACUAUUUCAACCCGUUUCUCUAGCAUAUAAAACUAGAGCCAAACCACAACCAUAUUCAAACUCGAUCAAAUUCUAAAUAUAUGCUUAGAAUUGAUCAAAUCGUUUUUUUUAUCUUAGUACAUAUGACUAAGGUAAAAAUAAUUAAAUCGAUUAGACUCUAAUACAUAUACUUAGAGUUCAAACAUAAGAAAUCAAGUUAGACUCUAAUAUGUAUAAUUAGAGUUUAAUUUAAAUCAAUUUCGGCUAAUCCUAAUAUAUAUAUAUUUAGUAUAUAGCCGUCCUUCACCUUAGAGUGAACUCAAAUUUAGUUUGACUCUAAUAUGCAUAUUUAGAGUUCAAUUAAAUUAAUUAAACUCUAAUAUAUAAAAUUAGAGUUAAUCUAAAUCAAAUCGGCUAAUUCUAAUACAGAUAGAUUUAGCCAUCCUGCACCUCAUGGUGAACCUAAAUUAGACUCUAAUACAUACACUUAGAGUUUAAUUUAAAUCAAAAUUUUGACUAAUCCUAACAUAUAUAACUAGGAUUUGGUUGAUAUUUCAUCUCAUGGUGAACCUAAAUUAGACUCUAAUACAUACACUUAGAGUUUAAUUUAAAUCAAAAUUUUGACUAAUCCUAAUAUAUAUAAUUAGGAUUUAGUUGAUAUUUUGCCUUACGGUGAACUCAAUGUAAGACAUAAUUAAGCUCUAACCCAUAUGCGUAGGGCUUAAUUACACUUUAAAAUAUUUAGGUCUGUCCUAACACAUACAUGUAGGAUGAAGGCUUAAAUUGAAUCAAAUUCAUUGGACUCUAAUACAUCUGCUUGGAGUUCAAACAAAUGAAGCUAAGUUAGACUCUAAUACAUAUACUUAGAGUUUAAUUUAGACUAAUCCUAAUAUAUAUAAUUAGGAUUUAGUUAACAUUUCACCUUAUGGUGAACCCAAAGCAAAUAUGAUUAAGCUCUAUCCCAAAAGCUUAGAGCCUAAUUACACUAGACUCUAAGAUAUAAAAUUAGAGUCUAAUUCGAAAUAUUUGGGCUAAUCCUAACACAUACAUUUAGGAUGAAAGCUUAAAUCAAUUUAAUCAAAUCNNNNNNNNNNNNNNNNNNNNNNNNNNNNNNNNNNNNNNNNNNNNNNNNNNNNNNNNNNNNNNNNNNNNNNNNNNNNNNNNNNNNNNNNNNNNNNNNNNNNNNNNNNNNNNNNNNNNNNNNNNNNNNNNNNNNNNNNNNNNNNNNNNNNNNNNNNNNNNNNNNNNNNNNNNNNNNNNNNNNNNNNNNNNNNNNNNNNNNNNNNNNNNNNNNNNNNNNNNNNNNNNNNNNNNNNNNNNNNNNNNNNNNNNNNNNNNNNNNNNNNNNNNNNNNNNNNNNNNNNNNNNNNNNNNNNNNNNNNNNNNNNNNNNNNNNNNNNNNNNNNNNNNNNNNNNNNNNNNNNNNNNNNNNNNNNNNNNNNNNNNNNNNNNNNNNNNNNNNNNNNNNNNNNNNNNNNNNNNNNNNNNNNNNNNNNNNNNNNNNNNNNNNNNNNNNNNNNNNNNNNNNNNNNNNNNNNNNNNNNNNNNNNNNNNNNNNNNNNNNNNNNNNNNNNNNNNNNNNNNNNNNNNNNNNNNNNNNNNNNNNNNNNNNNNNNNNNNNNNNNNNNNNNNNNNNNNNNNNNNNNNNNNNNNNNNNNNNNNNNNNNNNNNNNNNNNNNNNNNNNNNNNNNNNNNNNNNNNNNNNNNNNNNNNNNNNNNNNNNNNNNNNNNNNNNNNNNNNNNNNNNNNNNNNNNNNNNNNNNNNNNNNNNNNNNNNNNNNNNNNNNNNNNNNNNNNNNNNNNNNNNNNNNNNNNNNNNNNNNNNNNNNNNNNNNNNNNNNNNNNNNNNNNNNNNNNNNNNNNNNNNNNNNNNNNNNNNNNNNNNNNNNNNNNNNNNNNNNNNNNNNNNNNNNNNNNNNNNNNNNNNNNNNNNNNNNNNNNNNNNNNNNNNNNNNNNNNNNNNNNNNNNNNNNNNNNNNNNNNNNNNNNNNNNNNNNNNNNNNNNNNNNNNNNNNNNNNNNNNNNNNNNNNNNNNNNNNNNNNNNNNNCGGGUUGCGGGUUCGCCUUCUCCGCACUAUCCAUUGCCGGCGGGUCUUGGGUUCGCGUUUUGCCUCCGAUCCGGAAAUCUGCCCAUCCGACCCGCAAGGCUUCCAUCUUCCCCAACCGUAGAUGCUGUCGGACCUCCUUCUCCCUUCGCGUUCCUCCCAUUUCCCCCACUGCCGCCGUCUACUCGCAGAUCGCCCACGCCGCCGAUCGCACCAUCGCCGCAAGGCUCAAGCAGGCCUGCGGCGGGUUCCAGAGCGCGGCCGGCGCCUUCGCUUUCUUGAGGGAGACAGUCGCUGGGAAGGCUGCCGCGGCCGCAGCGCCACCCUUCCUCGUCGCCCGCCUGAGUUCCGCCUGAACGCCCUUGCCGCCGGUUCACCCCACUGAGCUCGCUCCUUCACUAUUCUGCUGCUGCCACUUUUAUUCUCCAUUUUAACUAGUAAAGUUGCUAUUUUUACUAUUCUCCCAUGCUAACUAUUACUACUGCUACUGCUACUUCUACCAUUUAUUCUCCAGGGUCGUUACAAUCCCCUCCCCUUAAAAUCAUCCUUGUCCUCAAGGAUGGAACUUGUUGAACUGGUUUGGGGCUCUCAUUUGCUUCACUCGCGGCACAUUCUUCUUCUUCAGAAUUGUUUCCUUUAAGCCAUAUUGAAACCUCUGUUCUGUUUUCUUGCGUCACCUUGUGCUGGUGUGAGGUGUUUCCAAUUCGUGUCCACACUCGCCUAUCAUCUCUGGUUGGCAGCAUGGACGGCGGUACCUGUUGGGGCGAGGGCUCACCCUCGGGACCUUCAGGCAGUCGCAACCUGCACGCCGCCAGUCUUGUCUGCUCCGAGAUGUGGUAAAGUGCAAACUGACUCCAUGAUACUUAUAGCCUCAUAGACAUUCCCUUCAUUUACUUCUUGUGGCUCACUUGCUUCUUCUUUUGCUGUUUCAGAUUCAGCACCCAUUUCAAUCUUUUUCUGGGCUUGUAACAUAUGCCCUAAACGCCUACGCAGCUUCAACAAAAUUUGGAAGUACUACAGAAGCUGCCAAGAACAUAGCCCAUAAUUCUAAAGAAAACAUUGAUCAUGAUCUUAUAGAAGGGGCUGUUGCAAGUAAGCAGACGAAGACGCAAGAGCUAUGCUAUGGAUACGGAGAGGAGUAUAUUACAGGAAAGCCAGAAGCAAAGAUUCUGGCCCUCAGUUUGCAAGAAGGAAGCCAGGUCACAAAUUCUUGGCUGAUAACAACCCACUACCUCAACAACCCUGGUUGGAUCAAAUUCAUCAUCAGCAUCAACAGCAUAAGCUCUGGAAGCGAUCUAUUGGGCGUGGAACCUAUCAUCAUUGUCGCCAUCCAGUUCUCAGAUCGAAGUCAUCAUUGAAGGUUGCGACUCAGCUCGGAACCAAAUCGGGCCUAGAUCGACCCUUGGUAGCACCUCAAUCAUCAUCGCAGCCAACCAAAUCUCCGAAAUUACAAUUGGCGAUGGAUGCUACUCAGAUUGGGCCAUUACAAAUUGGAUGCUAUCACAAUCGAGUUGUUAUGAAGAUUAGGCUGUUACAAACUAGAAAGGCAAAAACAGAAAAACAAGAGAUCGUUAACUACAAGGACAAACCCCCUUGGAAGGAGUUUGCUGCAGAUAGGUGGAAGGGGAUUGACAUCAAGUGUCUAGCUGAUGACAUUGAUGCAUUCUGUAGGCAAAUACACAACAAGACGGUGGAAAACUAUCAAGCCAGAUCGGAGAACUUAAGUGUAAUACACUGGAUCUUAGCAAAUUGCAAGAUUCGAGUGUUUGAUCUGUGUGUGGAGCCUUUCCACAGUUUUNNNNNNNNNNNNNNNNNNNNNNNNNNNNNNNNNNNNNNNNNNNNNNNNNNNNNNNNNNNNNNNNNNNNNNNNNNNNNNNNNNNNNNNNNNNNNNNNNNNNCAUUGCGUAUGCUUUCAGAGCUCGUUUGAAGUCGCCUUGCGUCUUGUAGAGCUGGCCCUCGUGGACAUCGUCCGCAUCUGCAACAUCAACAACUGCAUCCAUCGUAGAGCUGUUUACAAUGAGGUCUUCUUCAAGCUCGUCGUCGCGAAAAUGCUCAGCAGUAUGUCCCACUGUAUCGCCUUGCCUCAACGGGGGGACAUCCAUGGCGCUGUAUGUCCGAUGAGCUGCGUCGGGAUAACUCGAGACGAUGCGGAUGCUAACGUCGGAAUCUGACUCGUCUUUCAGAUCAGCGAUAAUCAAACCGUCGUCAGUGUCUACCGAUUCUGGAUCGUCAAUGAGAAUAGGAUGAGAAGAUCUGCAGAACAAGUGAAAGCAAGGAGUGUAUUGUAAAUAUUAAAUAGUACAAGAAACCUUAAGUGUAAAUUUCAUACGGUGCAAGAGGUAUAAGUAAUGAUGCAAAAUAUUACGCGAACCAUGCAGCAUAAAAAUAAUAUAAAAUGAAAAAAUAUGUAAUAGUGCAACCGUACAAUAUAUAUUGCUUACACUUGAAAGCGGUAAAAUAUAAUGGUGCAAAAGUGCGUUGAGAGUAGUGCAACCUCUUAAAAUAAAGAGGUCACAAGUGCAAUAAGUCUCGGUAAUGGUGCAAAAGAAAUAAUAGUGUAACUUACGAGCCAACUAUUGCAAAAUUUGUCUGCUGAGGAGUAGAUGCAUUCCCGGAACGCCUGUUAAUCAACAGAUCCAGCUGUUCGUCUGUAAGCACUUCGUCUAUAUCAUCGGGAUCACAAGUAGCAAACUUUCUCUCGACUAAGUUACUCACAGCAUAUAGCUCAAUUAGAUACGCGUGGCCUUUAUAGAGUCUCCGAAUGUUUCCGACAUCGUCGUCGUCAACAAUGUCGAUGAGUUUGUUUAGAUUUCCACAAUAGCAAAGUUUAAUUUCGAUAUUGCAGGAUUCCUGUGAAGUAUUAAUGUACUUGCAGAACAUUGCUUGCAGGGAUUUAAAAUUAUCGCCUUGCCUGAUGAAAUUGAGCCGGCUGGAUCCUCCUACAUAAUUGACAGAGCCUCCUUCCUCCUUAAAACACCCAUUAAAAUUGAAGUGCACUGGAAUUUCAUCAGUGUUAUCCAUGACUCGUAAGAAUGGAUAGAGAAAAUUAGCUAAUAGUUAUCAAAAAACACUCUUUAUAUAAUAUCAUCCAGUUAACGUAAUGAGUGGUUAAGUUGUGCAAGGCGGGAAAGUACUUGACACAGCGGAAUCAAUAGAUUUUAGAUUUUAUUCCCUUCAGUCCUUGAGACAAACGCGGUUGCACUUUCAAAUAAUAUAAAUAAAAAUAUCAAAAACCUAACAGCAAACACAGCCUCUGGCCAAUAGAAUAUCUACGCCCUAAACCCACCUUUCCCGCGCUUGCUGCAUUAAUGGCUCUUUAAUGGCUUGCAUUUAAUGCUCUGUCAUAAAACGGCGCUGUUGCGUAUAUCUCAAAGGGCCUCAUAUAAUUACAGGAUUGUAAGGGAAUUUCGCCUCGGGAAGGUAAGCAAGUUACGCUGUUUGGGAAUGGAAAUAAAAUAGUGUAACAGAUGUAAUCAAAUCACCAUUUAAACAAGGAAUUGCACUAUUAUAUCCAUUACAUUACACUGUUAUAAUACAAGAGGAAUUUUAUUACACCACUUUUACAAUAAAUUGCACCAUUAUGUACAUUACAUUGCACUGUUACACAGAUUGUACACACCCUGACAAACACUCCGGGCCAUUAAAUGCGGCCCAUGCGCUUCACGCAACAUGAAUUUUUUUCGGAACUCGGACAACAUCGAUUCCGCUAUUCACAAGACCAGGUGUUUGCUGUUCGGCUUUAAAAUAUGUGAACCUAAAACAAGACUGAAAUAAUAGUGCAACGAGGGAAGAGACACCGGCGAAGCAUCGAACUUUCUUCGGGAGAAUUCAUCCCGGAUUUAAUCCUGAUUAAACUUCUUAUUGCACCAUUCUCAACAUACUCUUGAAGGUGUAUUAUAANNNNNNNNNNNNNNNNNNNNNNNNNGGGAUGAUACUUGUAAAAGUAUCCUAGAUCAACUAUAUAUAUAUAUAUAUAUAUAUAUAUAUAUAUAUAUAUAUAUAUAUAUAUAUAUAUAUAUAUAUAUAUAAUAAGGCUAUUAAUUAUACUCUUGUGAGUAUUGGACCCUUUGUACUCAUAAGUUGUUUUCGAUUAUGGGAUUUCCGAAUCGACGAUCCACUCCGUUAAAUAUGAAAUCAGAUAUACUGCUCUUACUCUAAAUAGUGAAAAGAAUUUUCUAUAAAAUUUUCAUCGCAUUUGGAUUGUUUUACACCGUUAAACUCACAAACACACCACAUCGGCCAUUAAAAUUGUCAAUUUUGAGAUCUUUUGAUCACUAGUCAAAUGAUGUCGAAAAAAUUUAAAAUUUAGUUUCCAAAUACUUUCAAUAGUGUAGAUCAAGUCUAACGGAGCCGAUCAUCGAUUCAGAAGCCGCAUCAUCGAAAAUAACUUGGUAGCACGGAGCGCUCCGUGCUACCGAUAGCAUAGUAGCCGAACUCUAUAUAAAUAUUAACUAUAUAUAUAUAUAUAUAUAUAUAUAUAUAUAUGCUAUCGGAAGUAUAGAGGUUAUAGAGGAAUUUGUCACACUCAUUAUUGAGUGUGACAAAUUCCUUUAUGUGGUUGAUUAUGAUCAUUUGGCUAAAAAAAAAAAUUUGAGGUUGAGGAGGUUUCAUAUAUAUUUUUACCAAAUUUGAGUGAAUUUGGUCGAGUCAGUAAUUUCUAGAUUUCGCGAACUCGAAAAUAUAGACUUCUAUAUAAUUGUGAGUAAGAGUUUAGAUGACUUUAUGAUUUUGGCGUUGAAGCAAUUGCGAAUGCGUACAACUUUCUCAAAGUCACGAGUUCAACCUUUAAAAUCCAACAAAAAAUAAAGGUAAAAGCAUACGGAGUUUACAUGAAUUAUGGACGAUUUUAAAUCGACUAUCCAAGCUUCAAUGUUUUGAUUUUACUACUAACCUUUUAAUUUGUUUGAUUUGGAUCAGUCAAUGAUAUUUUGACUUUAAAAUUUAAAUUAUUUAUUUAUUUUAAUUUUAAUUAAUUUAUAUUUGUGAGAAUUGCAUCAACUAUAUUUAGGAAAUCUGUAAAGAUAAAUGGAGGAUUUAAAUUUUAAAGUUAAAGUGUCGUAGACUGACUCAAAUUAAACAAAUUAAAAAAUAAAUAGUAAAAUAAAAAUUUUGAAAGGUUGGAUAGAGAAUUCAAAAUAGGAAUACAAACGAGACGGAACUGGAAUCACCGGGACAUAAAGGAUUCCCAACAUCCCACAUUGUUUUCUUGUAAGGGCGGAGUGGAUUCGGAGUAGAUUAAUUUUUAUCAUUUUUGGCCCCACUUACUUUUCUAUUCAAGCCAAAUCGGCGCGAGAGUGCAUGGAUUAUUAGCGGAGGAUCAAAAGAAAAAAAGUAAUCUCCCACCUUUUGCUCUAUUUUCUUAGUUGAUCGGGACAAAUUUGGAACAGACUAGGAGCGAGUCACAUUUUUCUAUAUUUUUAUUCCUAUUUACCGCCCUACUAAGAGCACAAUCUAAGCGAUGGCUCCUGCAAUUAACACGGACCUAUUUGCAACCAUAAUUCAAAAUGAUCUAUAUAUAGUUUUGAUAAGUUAUGCACAUUUUAACCAAAAACAAACAAACAAUUAAGCCUUCGUUUGGGAUUGCGGAAAGAUUGCGUUACGUGCGGUGAGAAAGUACGUUGGAAAAAUAUCCCGUUUGUUUCCGUACAUAAUAUUGCGUUCCGCAUAUCGCGAUGAGUCGGUUACAAUAUAUUUUCUGCGCUCCCACCGAAAAACGCAGAAGCAUAUCCUUAUAUGUUUUUUUCUCAACUCCAUUUUAUGAAAUAGCGUUAGAUAGGCCUCAAUACCAAACUAAGCCUAAACCCCAAGCAUUGAUGGAGUUUUGGGGAGUUGUUGGGUAGCUUUUCGUGUACGCAAGAUGAGAUGCGAGUUCCACCGAAUGAGUGGACGGACACCAAAGGAGUGGACUACACCUGAGUAAACACUAGUCUGUGGGCCCCAUCCAAAUGACCGGUCCAGCCGGUCAACUCCGGUCAAGAUUAGCAAGCAACUGAAAUGACCAGCUCCACAGUUGGUACGGUCUAACUUAAAUAAAAUCACUAUUAUUAUUAUUAUUAUUAUUAUUAUUAUUAUUACGUUGCUAAUUUUUUUAAUUUGAAAAAAAAACAAAAAUAUCUUCUUUUUUUUUUCUAAUAUACUAAAAUUAUGGCGAGAUCUCUUGCUGUAGAAAAAUAUAGACGGAAAGGUAUUAGACUAUUUUGAGUUUUUCGCUCGAUUUUUUUAAAAAUUUAAAUUAACUAUUCAAUAUUUUAAUUUGAUUGAUUGGGACUUCGAAUUUUGAAUGAGUCAGUUAUUUUUGAUAUAUUUUACACAGUCCUUGUAAUUAUAAAUUUGUGAAAUCAAAGUAAUUAUUUUAAAAUUUGAAGUUAAAAUAUUAUUUACUAAUUCAAAUCAAACAGAUUAAAUAUUUAAAUAAUAAAAUUAAUUUUUUAAAAAAUUAGAUUAUCAAUUUAAGAUGGUGCAUAGUUCAGAUAAAUUUAUAUGUUCUUAAUUAUUUUCAUCCGUUAGAUCAUACAAUUUAGUCAAUAAUCCACUCAACUCUAGAGAGGUAUAGUAAUCUAAUUUUAUUCAAUCAUACACUAUGGUACUGUUUGGUUCGGGUAUAAGCAAGCUAUUACAGGGAUACGUACAAGUAUGGGAAUAAGAAAAAUAGCAUUUAGAUGAAAAUUCGGUUAUUCCCAGGGAUAAAAAAAUAAUGUUUGGAUAGAUAAUAUGGAAUAAGAAAAAUAUUUAAUAGUUUUAUAUAGAAAAUGGAGGUGUUGGUAGGGAUAGUUAUACCCGAUUAUUAUAGAUAACUGAGAAUUACUAUUCUCGGAUAAAAAAUUAGCGUUUAGAUAUAAAAGGGGGAUAAGAGCCUAUCCCUAUUUCUAUUCCCGGGAUAAGUACAAGUCUGAGGAUAAGAAAAAUAAUGUUUGGACGAAAAUUGGGUUGUUCCCGAGGAUAAGAACAAUUUUAGAUAGUUUUAUAUAAAAAAUGGAGGUGUUGGUGGGAUAACCGAGAACUACUAUUCUUGGAUAAAAAAUUAACGUUUGGGUAUAAAGAAGAGAAUAAAGACCUAUUCCUAUUUCUAUUUUCUAACCAAACGCUGAACACUGCAUGAAUUGAAUUGAGAAGUACAAUACUUUUUUUUUUUCUUUUUUUUUUUAAGCUUCUCCAAAAAGUGAUGUGCGGAAUCACGUGUGCUUUAAGCAAUCCACGACUUCCCAUAAACCAAAAAAAAAGCAAAGCAGCAGCAAACAAGGAGGUAAAUUGGCUCACCUAGGAAUGGAAAGGAACCCUAAUAUAAGGUACACUUAAUUAUAAUCUCUUUAUUUUUUUUGGCUAAAAUACAUGGGAUUGUCCCUGUGGUAUUCCAUUAUGAAAAGAUCUUCCUUUAAUACUAUUGAAAUAUAAAGUUAAACUAAUCUCAUCUAAAAGAGAUGAAUCUAAUAUAAAAUUUACUAAAAGUAAAAUGUUUAAGUAAUGGAUACUUUACGGCGCUAUGGUUGGUAUUUACCAUUUGUUUGUUUCACCAAAAAUAAAAUUCAAAUGAACUAGAAUUUAUAUGAAAAUUAUUUCUUUUCUAUUAUUGAUUUGCAUAGCUAUGAAAUUAAAACUCUUCUAGUUUUGGUGUUUAUUUAAUAAGAAGUGAAUAACUUAAAAACUAAAGUAUCCUAUUGUAAAUAUUACAUGAGAUUUUUACAGUAUUUUAAGAAAUUUGAGUUUUGAUUGAAAAUAAAGUUUGCAUGACUCAAACAAAAAGUAAUAAUACAAACAAAAAAAACCGUGAUUUUGAAUCCCCGCGAGGUUUGGAGGGGUCCUGAAUACGAACUUUAACUACUAGGCACAAGUUUCUCUCUCUCUCUCUCUCCAAAAAUAAAAUAAAAUAAAAUAAAAAAUUAGGCACAAGGAUUAUUCAUAUAUAGUUUUGGCUAAAUUACAAAAAACCCUCCGGUCAAAAUUCGAUUUUUCAUUUUUUCCCUCUGUCAUUUAAAAACCUACACUUUGCUCUUUUAUAAAAUGAAAAAUGUUCAUAGGAAAGUACGGUGUGAGACUGUAAUGAUAAAAUGAUCAUUUUGCCCCUCAUCAUGUUCACAGCAGAGAAGGAUGAGGACAUUUUUGGCAUAAAAAAUAUAUAAUAAUAUUUUAUAAACGGAACCUUAACGGAUUACUAACGGUAGAGGGCGAAGUGAACAUAUUUUAUUUUACAAGGAGGCAAAUUGUAGGUUUUUAAAUGACAGGGGGAGGGGGGUAGUGAAAAACCGGGUAUUAUGUAAUUUAGUCUAUAGUUUUUAUAUAGGGUUAAUUUCAUGUAUAUUCCUAUAAAUAUAGUGAAUGACAAAUAUAUUUCUAUAAAGUUUAACUUUCAUAUAUUAUUCUUAUAAAAGUCGUGAUAUUUUUAAAUAUAUUCAUACCGUUAGAAUCUGUUAAAAAAAUUUAGUUAAUCAUAGAUUAAAUACUUAAUCUUGGUUAAUUUUUAAUAUUUUUAACCCUCUUAUAUUAUAUUAUUAUGAUUUUUAGAAAAACAUAUUUAUGAUGGCAAAAUUGAAAAUAUAAAUGAUUUUCUAACGGUAAUAAAUCAGAGAGAUAUAUUUGAAAAUAUUAGAAUUUUUGCAGGAACAACAUAUAAAAGUUGAACUUUGUAGAGUUAUAUUUGUCAUUUACUAUAUUUGCAGAAAUCUACAUAAAAUUAACCAUUAUAUAUAGAGAGAGAGAGAGCUAGCCUCCUAUACUAUCUAUGGUACCGAGGCUCCGAUACUAUAGUCCCGUUUUCAAUUUUAGGGUAUUCAAAUCAACAAUCCACACCGUUAAAACUGAUCUAGAGUAUUUAAAGUUUUUAGAAAUAAAAUUUUAUAUUUUUUCGACAUAGUUUACUUUAUGAUCAAACCAUUUCAAAAUUGUUAAUUUUCAAUGGCUACUAUGGCGAGUUUGGAGUUUAACGGUGUAGAAGAAUUUAAAUUUCUUCAAAUUUUGAUAGAAAAUAUUUUAAACUAUCUAAAUUAAGGUUAACAUUCUUGAUUUUGAAUUUAAAAGUCCUAUACUCAAAUUUUAAAAAUUAUACAAUUUUCACCGUCCAUUUUGGCAUAAUUUAUUUACUAAGUAAACGAUGUCGAAAAAAAUUAAAAUUUUAUUCCUAAGAACUUCAUAUAUCCUAAAUCAUAUUUAACGGUGUGGAUCGUUAAUUUGAAUACCUUAAGAUCGAAAACAAGACUAUAGUGCCGGAGCUCCGGUACUAUAGAUAGUAUAGUAGCCUAAUUCUAUAUAUAUAUAUAUAUAGAGAGAGAGAGAGAGAGAGAGUCCGGCUACUAUGCUAUUAAUAGCACGAAGCACUUGGUGCUACCAAGUUUUCCGCCGUUAGAUCUACCCUUUUGAUCAUUUUCACCCGUUAGAUCAUACUAUUCAACCAACCACCCACUCAACCCUAGAGGGCCCAUAUCAUCCUAACCGCACAUCUCUUAAUCCAAUGUCGAAAAACUUGAUAACACUAAUGACUUGUUGCUAUUAAUAGUAUAGUAGACUAGUUCUCUCUCUCUCUCUCUCUCUCUCUCUCUCUCUCUCUCUCUCUAUAUAUAUAUAUAUAUAUAUAUAUAUAUAAAAUUGAGCUCCUAUGUUUUUAAAAGUACAAGUCAUUGGUGCUUGUAAGUUUUCAGCCCUUGGAUUAAAGGAUAUGCGGUUAGGAUGAUAUGGACCCUCUAGGGUUGAGUGGGUGGUUGGUUGAAUAGUAUAAUCUAAUGGGCAAAAAUGAUUAAAGAUAAAAAUUUAACGGUAAAAAAUUUACAAACAUUAAAUGCUUAUUAUUUUUACAAGUACUGUAGCCGGACUAGGCUAAGGACAC
RNAcentral lists this long non-coding RNA (70631 nucleotides) under Ananas comosus (pineapple). Its description in RNAcentral is "long non-coding RNA (ACOM_LNC020468)". Lineage: Eukaryota; Viridiplantae; Streptophyta; Magnoliopsida; Poales; Bromeliaceae. The record is from RNAcentral.